Molecule: long non-coding RNA, 76314 nt
Filed under: Triticum aestivum (bread wheat)
Lineage: Eukaryota; Viridiplantae; Streptophyta; Magnoliopsida; Poales; Poaceae
Description: long non-coding RNA (TAES_LNC025147)
Source: RNAcentral
GUCAUUUUGCUUUUUUUACACAGAUCGUCCCAUGCAAUGUGAGGUUAAAAUUCAACAAGCUGACAGGAGACAUUGUGACAUUUGAGGCUCCUGGGGAGGGGGCGUACACUAUGAAGGUCGAGAAAGGACGCAAUAUGUCACAGAUUGGAGGAGAUGGAUGGGGCCGUUUCCUCGCCCGCAUGCGUCUUCCUGGUGGUGAGUUUACCAGCUUCUCCUUCAGAGCAGAAAGACCCAAGCUGGCUGUCAUUUAUAUCAAGCUGGUGGAAGAUGAUGAACAUGACGAAGAUGAUGAAGAUGACGAAGAUGAUGAGGAUGACGAAGAUGAUGAAGAUAAUGAGGAUCCACUUGAUGAAGAUGAUGAGAACCCACUUCAUGAAGCCAUCGUAGCUCAAAGAAUGAGGCUGAGCGAGGAGGAGGUGUGCAACCUAUGGGACAUAAUUCCACCACGUGAUGACUUUGUCGGGGUGCCAUUCGUGACCCGCCUGACAAGUACAAUGGUCGAUCGGCAUGAAAUGGUAUGUUAUACUGAUUGUAGUAAUUUGAUAAUAUAUAUAUGCUUUAUUGUUAUACUUACAAAUGCAAAUUAUCCGAUGUAUGCUUAGUGAAUCCGAUGAUAUGCUUAGUGAAUCCGAUGAUAUGCUUAGUGUAGAGUACAAUGAUAUGAUGUGUGGAAUCUAGUCGAUGAUAUGUGUUAGUGUAGAGUCUGAUCACAUGCUUAUUAGUAUAGAAUCCAAGGAAUUAUUAAUAGUGUAGAUAAUCCAUAUAUACUUAUUAGUAGAAUUCAUGCUUAAUUAGUACAAAUGUGUAGUACUGUGUCUUUUGAUAGUGUAGAAAUUUAUACUUAAUAGAAAUAUAUUUGCAAGAGUAUUUGCGAGACUAUUUAUUAAUUGAUAUGUUUUUCUUAUUCAAAAAUUGUCAAAAAACCUAUCUGUGAGUUGUGGUAUCGGGUCUGAUGAAGAAGGCUCAGCUGGACUACGCCUUACUGCAAAGGGCUCCGUCACCACCUGUACUUACCGCAUGGACACGGACGGUCGCACAUACUUAAACUCGAUUGGGUGGAAGAGAUUUCUCGUUGGCAAGAAUCUUCAUGUUGGACAGGCCAUCCUAAUUACUAUCAGGAACACCCACCGCCCAGGCUUGAGGAUGAUGAUCGUCGUUGAUAUCAUCUAGAACUACAUAUUUGUGUGUGGCUAUAUCAUCUAGAACUACAUAUGAUGAUCAUCGUCAAUAUCAUGUAGAACUACAUAUGAUGAUCGUCGUCGAUAUCACCUAAUACUGCUUGAGGAUGCAUGUUGACUAUAUAUGAAAUUGUUAUCUAGUACUCCCUCCGUUCCAAAUUACUCGUCGUGGUUUUAGUUCAAGUUUGAACUAAAACCACGACGAGUAAUUUGGAGCGGAGGGAGUACUACCUACUACCUAUAAUGCUUUAUGAAAUUGAUAUAUAGUAGUACCUAGUAUCUGGAAACUGCAGUUUAUUGAAACUGAAACGGGGUAGGAANNNNNNNNNNNNNNNNNNNNNNNNNNNNNNNNNNNNNNNNNNNNNNNNNNNNNNNNNNNNNNNNNNNNNNNNNNNNNNNNNNNNNNNNNNNNNNNNNNNNNNNNNNNNNNNNNNNNNNNNNNNNNNNNNNNNNNNNNNNNNNNNNNNNNNNNNNNNNNNNNNNNNNNNNNNNNNNGGGGGGAUGAUGAAAGAUAUAGCAGUAGCGCGGGGCUAGGAAACCGCUACAGCUAAUUAAUAGUAGCGCGUUCCGGAAAAGCGCUGCUGAUAUAGUCAAUAGUAGUAGCGCAGAUAUAGACCGCGCUACUACUAAUAGUUAGCUGUAGCUUCGUAAUAGUAGCGCGGCAGACCGCGCUGCUAAUAGCCUCAAAACCCACGCUACUAGCGUUUUCCCUAGUAGUGUUUGGCCACGCUGGCGACGAGAGUGCCAGCCCUUCCACUUCCAUCGUGGGCCCCACGUCCAUCGACCACAGAUAGGUCAUGAACUCCGAUGAGGAUGAGUACGGCAUGGGAGCGAUAGAGCAUUGUGUCCCAACUGGGUUGGUCCGUCUCUCAUGUUCUACUCUUCCUCACUGGCGACCAUACCUUCACUUCGUGGGUGUUAUUGCCGCCAUUCAUGGAGACAACAGAUGGUGGAAGCAUUCGCAGGAAGAACAAGGACUUGGACGACAAACACCGUUGUAAGCUAGGUUUAGGUCCGACCCCUUUUUCCUUAAGGACAAUUGUUUGAAAUGUAAUGAAUUUCGUUUGGUUCAUAUGAAAAUCGUCCAGUUUGCAUGUAAUUCGUUUGGUUUAUUCAAACUAGGCUUGAUGCGAAUAGCUUUGGAUGGUCGCCUCCCGCAUCCGUGUGCGCGGACUCCCCCCCCCCCCUCCUCCGGUCCACGGACAGAUGCGGAAGAAUGCAACGUCUCGAUCGCCUGUGGUGAGAGCGGUUUUUUUGUACAUGUUAAGGUUGUCCUACAGCCUGAGCUCGGCGUGCCCUACUUUGCUCACUUCUGGCAAGGACAACCAAAGUAAGGUAUACAUAACGAAGAUGGUAAUUUCGGCACCCCAAGCAAUGAGAGUGACUGGUUGUAAGAGUAAUAGAAACUCCUUUUUUUUGUAUUUUUUUUCAAAACUAUGUUAUUUUUUGUAGCAAUUUCGGAAACUAUAGGACGUAAUGCAAAAAAACCAAACUAGUAGCCCGUCGGCCAUUCUUUGGCCGAAGUAGUACUUUUCGGCCACAGUUUGGCCGAAGUAGUACUUUUGGGCCACAGUUAGGCCGAAGUAGUACUUUUCGGCCACAGUUAGGCCGAAGUAGCAUUUUUUGGUCAACUCUAGGCCGAAAUAGACUUUUUGGUCAAGUCUAGGCCGAAAAGUCAUUUUUUGGUCAACCCUAGGCCGAAGUUGCAUGGCUCAUGCUGAAAUGUAUUUUGUCGCCACCCGUUUCCCGCCCACCCCUUCCCACCAUAUGUUUCCGCCACCCGUUUCUCGCCAACCCCUCCCCGCCAAUCCCUUNNNNNNNNNNNNNNNNNNNNNNNNNNNNNNNNNNNNNNNNNNNNNNNNNNNNNNNNNNNNNNNNNNNNNNNNNNNNNNNNNNNNNNNNNNNNNNNNNNNNNNNNNNNNNNNNNNNNNNNNNNNNNNNNNNNNNNNNNNNNNNNNNNNNNNNNNNNNNNNNNNNNNNNNNNNNNNNNNNNNNNNNNNNNNNNNNNNNNNNNNNNNNNNNNNNNNNNNNNNNNNNNNNNNNNNNNNNNNNNNNNNNNNNNNNNNNNNNNNNNNNNNNNNNNNNNNNNNNNNNNNNNNNNNNNNNNNNCCUUCCCGCCUUAUUUUCCCGCCAAUCCCUUCCCGCCUUAUUUUCGCGCCAAUCCCUUCCCGCCUUAUUUUCCCGCCAAUCCCUUCCCGCCAACCCUUUCCCGCCAUACCGCAGUUAUUCUUUCCCGCCAUUUUCUCCUCUGUAUCUAUAAAACCCCCUUCAGGCGGAGGUGGAUAAGCAUUCCAGUGUAGUGUAGUCGAGAUGUCCCAUUAUCCAUUCGAUCGUAGUUUUCACCCUGAGAUGAGCAGCACUCUGCUGAGUCUAGCUACCGAUUUCAGGAUGGACAAUAGGAUAGUUCCAUGGGACGAACUCACCGGUAGUGACACCAUAAUGAAUGAGUUGGCUCACCAAUUAUGUAGGUCUGGGUGGCCUGAAAGGACCUAUGAGGAGGUACGUCAAGAACUUCUUAGGUUGCAUGAAAGGUGGAAGAAGGUGGUGGAGCCGAAGAGUGAAACUUUCAGAAGGACUGUAGAAAAGCAUCCAUUUUUAUGGACUGAGGAGAGCGAGGACGACGAUGAUAUCUUCAUGCCGCCGCUUCCGGGUUUUGCAUCAUCGAAGGGCAAGAGUUCUGCAUCAUCCAAAGGAAAGAGUUCUGCAUCCGCGAAGGGCAAGAGUUCUAUAUCAACCAAGGGCAAGAGUUCUGCAUUGACGAAGGGCAAGAGGAGCGCAUCGUCGAAGGGCAAGAGGGCUGCAUCAACGGAGGAUGACGAUGAUGACUUCAUGUAGUAUGUAAGAUGUAUUCCAGUUGUACCGUUUCAUUCAGAUGUAUUUGCAUUAUUAGUUUGUAUUGUAUUAUUGUAGGGCAUUAUGUUCUAUCUGAAUUUUAUUUUGUAGUAUGUAAGAUGUAUUGCACAAGUUCAGUCGCGCCGUUUAAUUCAGAUGUACUUGUAUCUUAAUUAUCGGUUGUAGUCUAUUUGGAAAUGUAACUGAAAUAAGAAUGCGAAUUAAUAGUAAUAUGUCUCUUGCAUACAUAAAACAAUAUAUGUCUCCUGAUCACAUGGAAGCAAGUGCGAUAGUAACACAUACAUGAAGCAUGUCUCAUACAUAAAUACUGACACACAGCUGCGAAUAGUCUGAAACUAACAUAGAUAAUGAGUCAUACAUAGAUAGAUAAGCAUAUCACUGCGGGGGACGACGACGAGUCUGGGUCUUCCUUGGGCGAGGAUCGGAAGGCGAUAAGCGCUGAGGCGGUGGACGAGGCUCGCGAUAACCACGACCAUAGUUAACCUCGUCUGUCAUGGUCUAUGUCUCCUGCGUCGGUGGUGGUGGUGGAGUGUGAAACACUGUCUGCGAGAAGCCAUAAAUGUUUGUAGCUUGGUCAUCAUCCUCGCGGUCGCCCUCAAAGUAUGAAGCACCACCACUAAGGAUCGGUGACUGCUCUGAAUGCAUGAAUGGUUGCAACUGGUUGCUGCCUGCGGUAAAGUAAAAUUGAUACAAAUGCAUGAACGAAGCACCACCAAUAAGCAUCAGUGACUGCUGAGAAUGCAAGAACGAUUACUACAUUGUUCAAAAGAAUGUAGUGAGUAGUGUUACCUAGAUUCAUCUGCUGAUGCCAGUAAGCACUCCCUAGCUGUGAAGGAGGUGGCUCAUGCCAGGAAGAGCUCCUUGGCUGUGAAGGAGGUGGCUCAUGCCAGGAAGAGCUCCCUGGCUGUGAAGGAGGUGGCUCAUGCCAGGAAGAGCUCCCUGGCUAUGAAGGAGGUGGCUCAUGCCAGGAAGAUCUCCCUGGCUGUGAAGGAGGUGGCUCAUGCCAAGAAGAUCUCCCUGGUUGUGAAGGAUGAGGUUCUGCACGGUGCACAGAGGGUCGUGGUUCUGAACGGUGCACAGAGGGUCGUGGUUCUGAAUGUUGUACAGAGGGACGUGGCGGACAAUGUGCUGGAGGAGGAAGUGCAACAUCCGAAGUCCGUCUACAUGUAACAGCUGCGUAAAUCCCGCGUAGCUUGUCAUCAAGACGCCUCAACCAUGAGACGCCCUCUCGCGGUGGGAUAGUUUCUCCCCUCUGAAAGCGCCGCAUUAAAGCGGAAACCUCCUCUCGCGCCUGUAGUGUCAAGUCACCCUGUACACAAAGAGUGAACCAAUUAUAUCCUUGUUGUAUGAUAGACACCACGAAUAGACAACCAAGCGAAUAUGUCUAGAUUAACAAAAGACUUAACAUAUGAGAACCAAGGCAUUUACCGCGUGGUGUCUGGUUCCCACAACAGAGGCAGUUGGGUACAUAUCGCUGGUGAGAGGGGCUUCGAUCUGAUCAGGAGAAGCUGAUGGAACCAAGUAGAUCCUCGUUGUAUGCCGGUAACGCUGCAGAUACAACCCGAACAUUUCCCAGUUAAAGGGCCGAACCUCACCCCAGAUAUUUUUCACAGCGGUAGUCCAUUCGUCAAUGUAAGGGGUAAUGCUCUGAAGCCAAUAAGCCAUGGACUUGUUUCCUCCUAGGCGACUGUCCCUGAGAUUGACAUGCGCGAUACAUGAUUAGGUAUAUUAUGAAUGCAGAGCUGCCAACUAAAAUAGUAUUAGUACUUACUUGUGCACGUGGUCUGGCAAGUGUGGAAUAUCUGGAAUCUCAAGCUGUUGAUAUAGACCGAACUGUCUCAUCACCCUAUGAAGAGACAUCUCCUCAACCGUCACGUCGAACACCAACUUGGCCUUGGUCAUCCAAAAGUGCCGAUCUCUAGUGCACAAUCCAGAAAUCCCAACUGGGUACCUCGAUGAUAUAGCCUGAGGCGAGUAUGGCUCCCAAAUAACUUGAUCCUCGUGCAAACUAUCAAACUGCGCCAUGAAGGACGGGUAGCAUCCCCUAACCUGAGUAUGCGCAAACUGUCUCUGUGCAUGACAACAAAUAAGCAUUAGUAAUACUAUUGAAUGGCAAGAAAUAAUUGAAUUAAUUGUUACUUAAUAUAAAAGUACCUCUCGCCGUGUCCAAACAGAUCCCAUAGUAGGUAAGUUGCCGAUAGCAGGCACAUAAGUCCCAGCUAAGUCCUCCAAACCAAAAGGUUUAUCAACGUAGACAUAGGGUCGUCCAAUAGGGAACCUCUCGUAUGACCAAAGCUGCAACAAUAAUGGACAUCCAACAAGACUAGAUUUUCUACACUUCAACAAGCAAGCUUUGCACAGGCCUCUGUAUGUAGCCGCUAACACAGCAGAACCAAAACUCCUCUGUAGAAUAUCCGCAGGGCAACGUGCUUCAGUUAUCUCUCGUGCAAUACCGAUGAGUCGUGCAUCGACAGUGGUCACAUGGUUCUCCGUAAACAUUGUCUUGCCGAACAGCCAAAGAAUAUAUGCCUCUAGGGACCGGUCAAUCUGUGCCUCCGACAACUGAACGUCGGGAUGUCCUAACGAGACAAUCUACAUAGAAAGUAAUAAUUGUAUGAACAUCGAACAACUAAAAAACAACAUUUGUUUAAGUGGCUGUGAUGGUUAUGUGAAACUGGCUCAACCAUCUAAAAAGAGGUCCAUGAGGAUCGUUGUCUAUAGCCCUAGCAGUCGGGACUGCAGCAAAAAAACAGGUCUACAUCGCUGCCUGCCACCCAGAUUCUGCCUCUAAGGGACCUAUGGCAGCACCGGCCAGACGUAAUCCCAACAAGUAAGACACAUCCUGUAAAGUAGGCUCCAUCUCUCCCCAAGGAAAGUGAAACGUAUGUGUCUCUGGUCUCCAUCUAUCUACUAAGCAGGUAAGGAGUGACUUGUCGUAAGAGAAACGUUUCACUUGCCUCUUGUGUAACUGCAAUGGUUCACCUGCCUCAUCUAAGUCCAGACCAUCAAUCCACUCAUUCAAUGUACCCUCAACCAGCUGUGCCAAGGGUAGAAGUCCAGCCCAACUUAACCUACAAAAUAAAGAGAUUGUUAGCGGUUAUGAAAAGUAUGUCAAACAUAGUAAGUCAUUAUAUGGUCUCCAUUAUAUGCACACAUACCUAUCAACCCAUGAAUCGUGUAUCAGCCAGUUAGUCUUUGGCGUACGAGUGACCAACACGUCUAAGUUGUUGCCCGCUUCCGUAAGGGCGCCCCGGUGCUUUCUAUCGAUGUUACCAUUAAGCAACGGAUAAGACAUAUCUGCAAUUCAAACAACAAAUCUCAGGUGCAAAUAAAACAUAGUACGACAUAUUAUAAAUUAUAACAUAGUCCUGACAUAUUACGAAUUAAAACAUAGUCCUGACAUAUUACAUAUUAAAACAUAGUCUUGACAUAUUAAAAAUUAAAACAUAGUCCUCACAUAUUACAAAUUAAAACAUAGUCCUGACAUAUUACAUAUUAAAACCCACUACGGCACAUUAUAUAGCUCGUGAGUUAUUUCUUCCUCGUCCGCCCCUUCGGCCUCGACUGCCACGACCACGUCUGCCUCUUGCUCCUGUUGUCGCAGCCGUCGAUGUGGAAGCACUCGUCGAUGCGGAAGCACCAUCUUUGUUCAGGUCGGGACAAUAUUUCAUCCUAUACCCAUAAGCCGCGCAUAACAAACAUUGUCUGGUUGCUCCACUAGCUGCAGACUGGUCCAUAUCGUUCCGGAUGCGACAGGCCUUUCGUCUGCCCCUACUUGUUCGCCGAAGGUCUGGAUGCGGGAUGUAUACUCUCUCACCGUCGUUUACCUUGUUGAAAUUGCCGACGACUCUAAACCUUGUCAUCUUGCCUGUCCAGGUGUUGAGCACUGCCUCUUUUAAAUAGUAUGGGGACACGAAGGAUAUAGCAUCCAACUGAAUCUGGCCAUAGGCAGCCAACACAUGAGAGCAAGGUAGGCGCAACAACUUCAGUUUGUUGCAUGUACACUCACACGUUGAAUAAAAUUCUGUUCCAAUUUUUACCUCGUGUGUCUUCACCUCAUUUCCAGAGCCAAAACCAUCGGUAGGAAGCUGAACCUCAUACCUCCUUUCUUGAUUCCCUAUGAGUCUGACACUGUGCUUCUUUGCUUUCUCUAUCUUCUUUGCCAUGUAUUCCAUGACACGGCUACAAUAAGGUGUGUUAUGAUUAUCUUCAAUAUGCUUCUUUGCUAACUCGUGCCUUUCUCUGAAAUAUCUCAAAGUGCCAUGGAAUACAGCCUCCACAAUAGCUGUUAGUGGCAAUGCUCUAUUCCCUCUCAGCACAAAGUUAUACACCUCUGCAAGAUUGGUUGUCAUGUGGCCAUACCUAGCUCCAUGUGUGUCAUGCAGCAAAGACCAAUUCAUUGGAGGCUCUUUCUCUAUCCACUCAGAAAAAUUCUUUAUUGCCCUUCCCUUCUUUCUCUUAGUAUUAGGAGGGUCAAUUGCUGGCAAGUCACAAAGACCAAUUGGCUCCUCUAGCUCCGCGAUGAGUGCUGCUAAUUUAACCUGAUCUUCUUCCAUUUUCUUCCUUGCAUGGACCUGCUUCUUAGUAAACUCAUCUAGUUUUGACCAAAUAAAUUCGUAUUUCCGCUGCUGGCUCUGCUUGCAUAAUUUUUUGAACAAGUUCAUCAACCGCUUGUUCUUGAACUGUGAGAAAAAAUUAGCCCCAAGAUGGCGCAUGCACCACCGGCUCUACAAGUCCCUCCAAGGUGUUGGUUCGUCAUCUGCUAGAUUACAAAGUGUCUUCACGGCUUUCAAUAUACCAGCAUGUCUGUCAUGAAUGACACACACGUUUGGUCGGUCCUUCACGAUGGCAAUUUUCACUUGGCGAAAGAACCAUACCCAGCUGAGAAAGUUCUCACCCUCCACAAAUGCCAUGGCAAGUGGGAUGAUUUGAUUGUUCCCGUCCACACCAAUAGCAGUUAGGAUUUGCCCUCUAUACUGACCGGUCAGGAAUGUACCAUCCACAAAUAUAACAGGAGGACAAUGCUGGAAAGCUUCGAUGCACAUAGCAAAAGAGAAGAACACUCGUUUCAACACCUUGAAAUCUGGUAUACUCAGCAACCUCAUGUGUUGUACGUUCACAUAAGUGCCGGGAUUCCUCUCCUUCAGUAUGCCCAGGAGACGGACAACAUUAUCAUAUGAGUCGAAGAACGUCCCAAACCUUUCCUCCAUAGCCUUCUGCUUAGCCCUCCAAGCCUUCCCAUAAGGAAUGACAUAAUUCCAUCUGACCUUCACUGUUGUUUGGAUGUGUUUUGCUUCCAUAUCUUUCUUCUCUACUAUCUCAGUAUACAUGAGUUGCGCAAUGAGACUUGAAGUCAGGUUCGGAUGCUUGACCAGCAGGUUCGUCCUCACACAAUUAUGUGGGACGACAAUGGUGACAACCCAGUGGAUGUCAUACUUCGGCACGUGCCCGUGCACCUUCCCAGGACAACCUGUUACAACACAUUUCACGGUAUAGUUUAUUGGACUUGAUAUGUGUGUCUUGAAAACCCUCUGCGUAGACAUAGCCCACUUUAUCACCGCAUACUUCAAUUUUUUCUUUGUAUCAAACAUAGCCCCUAUUUGUACUUGGUUCAGAUUAUACUGCCAUGGAGUCUCAUGGCCAUCGUUCACCGUAAGGCCGGUGGAUAUGUCCUGCUCCCAUGCAGAAGGAAUCGGUACCUCAACUUCAUCCUCAGAAUUUUCAGAAUCCAGUUCCUCCACCAAUCCAUCCUCGUCCUCUUCCUCCAUAACCCUCUGCAUUUCAUCCCCUUCCUCAUCCCCAUCAGCAAAACCAGAACCAUCUAAUAUUAUCGAAUGGCUACUCUGCCCAGUAUCAGGACCACAAACAUUGUGGGGCACGUAGUAUGACUGUUUCUCGGGUUGGCUACCAUCCACAUCUUGUGGCUGUGACCCGGAUAAAACAAUCUCGUUAGCCACUUCGCUGCCUUGGCCGGGUUCAUACCCCCUGUGGAGUUGUACGGUAUUCUCCUCCUUCGGCACAGGUUGCACAAGUGCAUAUGGGUGGAUUCUUCGGUCUCGGCAGCGUCUUAACAGGGACAACCAAUGUUGGCUCCUAUCUACCGGCAUCAACUCCCACUUGACAUUUUUACAAGAUUUGGUCCACAAUGCAUGAAUACUGACGGAACAUACUUCAGGAUCCAGCCCGAAACUAGUUGUCAACCAGUACUUCAAUUGUCUAAUGUCCAGUCUGUCCGGGUCUGCUAGUGUCAUGACGCCAUUUUUAAACUCGCUAAGAUCAACCCCCAACUCAUUAUAUCGAACAUUACCAGCGCCGUAGUAAACAUUCAGAUUUACUGAUUAAGACAUUUUCACCUGUCAGACAUUGCCAUCUUCUCAUUAAUCACAACGAACUAUGCGCUAAAAUGCCUCCAAAAAUAUAUUAACACUAAAAUUCACAAUAUGACUUAUAUACACUAACUAAACUAUAUUAAUCACAAUAUACACUAAUAUUAUCCGCUACACGAACUAUGCGCUAAAAUGCCUCCAAAAAUAUAUUAACACUAAAAUUCACAAUAUACAUUAAUAUUAUCCGCUACGCGAACUAUGCGCUAAAAUGCCUCUAAAAAUAUAUUAACACUAAAAUUCACGAUAUACACUAAUAUUAUCCGCUACACGAACUAUGCGCUAAAAUGCCUCCUAAAUUAAAUUAACACUGAAAUUCACAAUGAACACUAAUAUUAUCCGCUACACGAACUAUGCGCUAAUAUUUACAUAAUAUUUGUGACGACGUGAUUAUACCUUCGAAGUGUGUGUCCGCUUCUUGCUUCUCUCUUUGACUCAGCGGCACCGGCCACCUCGCGAAGUACUUGCACCACCGGAGAACGACAACGCCGCCCCCAACGACCGGAGGUUCAACUCCGGUCAGCCCCCAACCCGCUCCUCCUCCUCACCACCUCCUCCUCUGCAGCUGCUGCUACUAGUCACCACCACCUACUACCCGUCCUCCUCUCCACCAUGGCUCCUCCUCCCCACCAUGGCUGCUCCUCCCCAAACACAUCAAAAACUAUUCCAUAGCAAAAAAUAACACCGUAGGCCGGUGGGGAUUGCUAUGAUCUACCGAUUCUGUGGGUUGGAUUUGCAAAUGUGUGGCAAAUGGAGGAGAUCGGCGCGGGAGGGGGGGGGAGUUCUACAGAGAAGAACUGAGAGAGAGAGAAAGGGAAACGAAGAACAGAGCACAACACAGGGGCGAACAGGUGCUUAUCCGCACCUUUUCGGCCUAGACCUGGCCGAAAACGGCUUCGGUCGAAGCCUAGCCGAAAAGGCCAGCUUCGGUCACCGGUGGGCCGAAAACGGCCCAGUUCGGCCGCCUAGCAGCCGACACUACUAUUUUCGGCCGGUACCCCGUCAACAGCGAGUUUUCGGCCCAAGCGCGGCCGAAAAGCCUACUUCGGCCAUGGCCUGGCCGAAAACUCCCUUUUCGGCCCACUCCUGGCCGACGGGCUACUAGUUUUGCGUUUUUUUCAUUCUACGCUAUAGUUUCCGAAAUUGCUACAAAAAACAUGAUAGUUUUGAAAAAAAGUCUUUUUUUUGCGGGGCAAGAGUAAUAGAAACUUAGGUGUUGAUUGGCGAAGUUCCCUUCUUUGCAUUGGAAGUAGCUAAAAUGAUUGUGCGAAUGCUGGUUGAUUAAUAUAGGUAAGUGCUUUCAAUAAAGAAAAGGAGUGGCUGGCCCUGAUUAUCGCAUCAAUAUUAGCAGCCCCAGCUGUACUUUAUGAAUUAUUAGCAUGUUUAUGCAAAAUAUUUCGUAUUUAGCUGGGUUGAUUUAUUCUUUGGAGGGAGGGGGUAUGUACCUUGGUAUCUGGAUCGAAUUUUGGAGCAUUAUGCGUCUAUGGACAUAUAGUGAAUAUUCGAUGUAAUCAACCACUGCCUUUUUCUUUUUUGCGGGAAUCAACUAUUAUACCAACCACACACAACGCAAGCCAACCAUCAUGUUAUUGCCUUGUUCGUUUCCUACAUAUUGCAAGUUUGCAACCUCACUACGUAGCUAGCUCUCUCCCCAUCCUCUCACUCUCUGGCAUUGCGUUGCUCGUGUGUCCCAAGAAGUAAAGCUCGGGCCCUCACUUCGAGAAUGGCGGCGGCAGAGGGCAGCAAGGAGGAGACGACGAGGAGGAAGGCAGAGCGGGUGGCGCUGCCGGUGGGCAUUUUUUUUUCUUUUUGAAAAGAAGGAAUACCCCCGGCCUCUGCAUCUGGACGAUGCAUACGGCCACUUUAUUGAUUAUAACACAAGACCUUACAAAGUCGUACAACAGUAACACCAAAGCCACCAUCUUCGCAACCUCUGUCGCUACUCCUAUCUAUCGGAUGAAGGGGCGCUGAUGGUCUGGGCCUAAUACCAAACAGACCUCGCAGCCAAACCUUCCGGGUAUGGGCACCCACCUGUCUGGCGUGCUUUUCAACCAGGCCCCCUGCCGGGUAUGAGGCCGCCGCAGCCACGUACCAUCAAUCCAUCUUCAGAGUUGUACUGUUGCAUGAACCGUGCCAGGCCUCUCUGCCAUCGACCCCACCACGACGCCAGACAGCGCCACCAUCCUGCGCUCGUCCAUCAUCACACGCCCACCGGCGAUACCCCUACUGCUCCAUGCCGUCGAGACUCGCCGUUGUCGACGUACCAGAUGCCACGCCGCUCCUCCGACGCGAACACGAAAAACAGGAAACGCCCUAAAGAUACAAGGGGCACUCUGCACAACAUGAAAGCCGCCGCGAGCAGCUGCAGAAAUCCAGCCGGCAGCCAAAGCCCCCACCAUCAUGAGCCCACACCCGAAUCCUAGCUCCCCAGGCAACGCCUCCAAGGAGGGGAUGACGCCCAUGGCGCCACCGCUGCCCAAUCCAGACCGGAUUUUGGGUUUUCACCCGGGAGAGGACCGGAGGUGACAAGAAUAAGGACCUCGACACCGCCUUCAGGAAGGAUGCGUCGCCCGAAGCCGACGCCGCUGUCGAGCCGAACCAGCCGGCCUAGGGUUUCCCCCGGUCCCAAUCUGCACCACCAUCCCCAGAAGCACCGGAACCAGCAGCAUCCACCGGCCACAAGCGCAAAGGGGAAGGAGCGGGAAGGAGGGAGUAGCAGGCCUCCAGAUCUGGAGAGGACGAAGGCCCCCGAACUGCCGCCGCCAAGCGCCGACUCCCCGCCACCCGAGCGGUCGAGGACGUCGGGCAGAGUCCCCGCGCACACCGUCCAGAGCGCGAACAGCGGCGCCGAACCAGCAGGGGCCGCCGCCCCGUGGAUCCAGAUCUCCGCAAAGGGACGAUGAAGGCCUCGCCGCCACCUUCCUCGGCAGCCGCGCGACGCAUCGGCGGCUCCUCUAGUGACGACGAGGAGAAGAAGAAGGGGGAGGGGGACCGCCGGCGGCGGCUAGGGUUAGCCGCCCGUGUCGCCCCUGUUGGAGCGACGCGGGGGCGGGGGGGACUCCUGCUACACACUGGUUAGUAGUAGUAGUAGUUGUGUAGUCUCCAUAUGCCUGCCGGCGGGCAUGGUACUGGUGCAGGUGUUGACGGUGGUGACCAUGCUAUUGUCCAAGGCGGCGCUCAACGGCGGCAUGCAACCCCUGGUCCUCCUCGUCUACCGCAACCUCGUCGCUGCUGCCACCGUCGCCCCCCUUGCCGUCGUUUUUGAGAGGUGCGUGUGUGAUCGAUUGAACCAUGGUGCGCAAUAUCAGUUAGUUUUAAACCGCGUUCGGCGAAACACGUACGUACAUCAUUCAUGAAUGCAUGCAUGAAAUGUCAUUUGUUUUGCUUAGCUAGGUUGACUGACGGACAGCAUGAACGCAUAGGUAUACACAUGCCCGUACUUAAAGCCGCCAGGUGUAUGCUAUCAUCGAUCUGAUCAUUUGGGCACAUGACAGUGCUAGACAUGUCGCAACCGCCAGCUGCAGGCACGCUCGGUCGAUGAUCUGAUCAUUCACAUGACAACAACUGCAGCCACGUCUGGAUUCUGGAAGGAUUUUUUUUUCCUUUUAAGUACUGUUUUUUUUUGAAAGGACAGCAUAUUUCCCUAACAUGCAUGCAUUUUUCCAUUUGAUGCUCUGCAUUUGCAUCAUCUGUUCUUUCACUAAUAUAGCUACCACGCCACUGUCGUUGAUGAUUGCAGGGAAAUAUUGAAGAAAGUGAACAUGGUUGUUUUGGGCUGGAUCUUCAUCAACGCUACUUUCGGGUUCGCAUCCAACUAUAGUAUACUGCAGCCUGUAAUGCAAUGCGCUUGCAUGCUUCUACAUUUGUUCAUGUCCUCAGUUUAUUGCGAUGUGAUUUCUGAUCUGUACGAAAUUAUAACUCUGUUCAUAAUCUCGAUCCUUGAUGUUUUUUCUUUAUCCUUGAUGUUAAAAACAGGGAAAGCUUAUUAGCAUUAGGCUAGGCUAAUCCACGCUACUAAUAUGGUAAACGUCUAUGUUACGUUUUGAAGAUUUUUGUUGUCCUUCCACUUCUCAAAUUAUAGUAAUGUGGUUAAUUAUUAGUAUAUAUUGAAGUAAUGUGGUUAUUAGUAUCUAAAUUUUACCACAAUAACAGUGUAUAAUUACUGUGCUAAAUAUGUAUGAUUGCCAGGUAAAUAUUUAUUAGGGAUAGUAGCAUUGCUGUGAAUGGCCAGGGUUAGUAUUAAAAUGUUACUCUAAAUAAGUAAAAGAUGAGGUGAGGCUGUAAAACUACUACUCCUCCGUCUCAUAUUAAUUGUCGCUCAAAGGGAUGUAUCUAGCACUGAAAUGAGACUGAGGGAGUAUCAUGGAAGUCCUACAGUUGAUCAAGAGUAGCGUUAUGUAACAUGAUAACCAAGUUAUUUCCUUUUUGUUGUAACUAAUUAAGUUACUAUCACCUCCAUCGCAGCCAAAUGGUUGUACAUGCAUGUAACCCGACAACUAAAUCGCUAUAAUUUUGCAAUUGGCAAUGAAAAAUUAUGAAACAUGUCAACAUCAGACUAAGCUUGGAAAUCUCGUCAGUGUAGCAGCCAUCAGUGAAAACGUGUGGUUAAUCGGUUUGACGGUUGGUGAAAUAAGAGUUUUUGAAAGGUUUCAAAUCCAUUUUUUCGUAAUAUAUGUUAUGUUUGCAUGUCUACUCUCUUUAUUUGCAUGCAUGUGUGAGAAAGUGGCACAAAAAUAACAGACGUCGAAAUUACGUCAGGCUAUUGUGUUGGAUUCUCAGUUAUUUAAUAUGUAUUCAGUAUAGUCUUGCAUCCAAUAAAUUUUGAAUUAUGCGUGUAUGAUGCAGAGUUUUGUUGGCGACGGGGUUGUACUACUGCGCCCUACGGGCCACCAGCGCCGCCUAUACCGUCAACUUCUUCAACCUCAUUCCCGUUGUCACCUUCCUCAUCGCCGUCGUGCUCCAGGCCGAGCGCAUCUCCCUCGACACCUGGCCCGGCAGGAUGAAGCUGGUCGGCACGGCCUUGGUGUCGCCGGCACCAUGGUGGUCAUCCUAUGCAAGGGCCCUCAUCUCCCGCUGCCGCACCUCCGGCCGUCCAAUGCCCACGCCCACGCCAGCGCACCGGCACCGGCGUCGGUGAUCCAAGGUGGCCACGACAUGGCCGUCGGCACGCUGUUCAUGUGUGGGAGCUGGGCACGCUGUUCAUGUGUGGGAGCUGCGUGAGCUAUGCACUAUGGUUCGUGGUGCAGGCUAGGGUUGCCAAGGUGUUCCUGUUGAAAUAUGAGAUGGGCCUAGAGCCCAUAUGACAAUUUCAGAUUUGAUCUCUAAGGGCCCAUGUAGGUGGCAUGACAAGGUGGUGGAAAGUUUAGUCCCACCCCGGAAGUGGAAGAAGAGUUGGAGUGGUUUAUAAGGGAUUCUCUUCCUUGUGUUAUUGGAGCUUGAGAAGAGAUGAGGCCCUCGCGCACUCCACACCUCGCCGCGCCGCGGGUUGCGGGAUUGAGCCGAGCCGAGAUCACUCCUAUGCGCUUCUUUUUGCCGGUCAAGAACGGAGAGUCUUUGACAGGUAGGGCCACGAUCUGAGACGUCGGAUCGUGGGCUACCGACUUGGACGUGGGUUCAGCCCACCUCUCUCCACGCGCAGCCGCACAUAUAUAUGUGGGGCACUGCCAACCCUAGCCGCCACGAAACAGAACGCAUCUCCACCUCCAUGCCCACGUCGUUCCUCUGCUGCUGCUGCCGCCGGCGACUCCGUCCCGUUCACCGCGUACACGGUUGACGGGAGAGCAGGCCUUCGAAAACCCGCCUCUCCGGAUCCUGUACGGGAGAGGGGCGAUUAGGUUUUUGGGUAGCGACUACGCGACUGCUCGCUUCUGUUCAUCUACGUCUGCAUCACCUUCGCCAUCACCAUGUCGACCGACGCCGACUGUGCCGCCGCUGAGAAGGCCGAGGCCGACAAGAAGGCCGCCGAGGAUGUCGCGGCUGCUGCCACCGCCACCACCGCCGCGUGGCCGAUUGGAGGGUAUACAUCGUUUAUCCCUCUCGUGUUUCUUUCUGUUGUAGCAGUACUAAAGUUAUGCGUAGAUGUUUCUACUAUAUGCGUAAUACAUGCUCUGUUAGAUCAUAAUCAGUGUGUUAUCAGUGCUGUCCAUGUCAUGCUCAUGAUUUAUUCGUGGAUUAAUUUAAUUGAAAAACUGCCUAUUUUCUUAUCAAUCCAAAAACCUAAUGUGUGUAGAAGUUUUUCGAAUUCUGGUUUUGCUGCUGCACUGAAACCGUCCCCGUUUAUGGGGACGUACUUUAAGCGUUGGCAGACUAAAACCACCUUAUGGCUCACGACCAUGAACGUGUUCUGGGUCGCCGGUGUGACUCUCACAGGAACGAUCGCUCCUGAAUAGGAGAAGGCGUUCAAGGAGGCCACUGUCGUGUUCCUCGGGGCAGUUCUGAGCGUGAUUGGAGAUAAGCUGGUUGACGCAUAUUUGCAUGUGCGGUCUGCCAAGGACUUGUGGGAGGCGCUCGAAUCUAAGUUCGGGGCUACCGAUGCAGGGAGCGAGAUGUAUAUUAUAGAGCAGUUCCACGACUACAAGAUGGUUGAAAACCGUCCUGUAUUGGAGCAGGCUCAUGAGAUAAUAUGCAUUGUUAAGGAGCUUGAGCUUCUUAAGUGCGAGUUACCGGGCAAGUUUGUCGCGGGCUGCAUAAUCGCUAAGUUUCCCAAUUCCUGAAGGAACUUUGCCACCACUCUGAAACAUCAGAGGCGUGAAUUCUCUGUGGAGGAUGUCAUUGGCCAUCUGAGUGUUGAGCAGAAUUCAAGGGUAAAGGACUCACACGGAAAAGGGGUCGAAGGAACUUCUGUGGCCAAUAUGGUACAUCAGAAGAACUCCAAUUCCCACAAGCCCAAGGGAAAGAACGGUGUCCAACAGAGUGCCGACUUUAAGAAGAAGGGUAAGAAGACCUUCAAGAAGAACAAGAAGGAUGAGGGCUGCUUUACUUGUGGUUCGCUUGAACAUUGGGCCAACAAGUGCCCACACAAGUAUAAGAAGCAAGGGCAGGACUCCAAGUCUGUCAAUAUGAUUGUGAGCAACAACGAGAGUGGUGCAUCUGGGUACGGUAAUUUAUUUGCUGUAUUUUCAGUUUGAUCGUCCAUCGAUUGGUGGGUCGACACAGGUGCAGGUGUUCAUGUGUGUGCUGACAUUUCAUUGUUUUCUUCUUAUCAGGCCACAGGUCACGGGUCCUUACUGAUGGAGAAUAGCGCGAGUGCUUCUGUUCUUGGUGUUGGCACGGUCGAUCUGAAGUUUACUUCGAGAAGGAUCGUGCAGCUGAAGAACGUGCAGCAUGUCCCCGUCAUCAAGAAGAAUCUCGUUAGUGGCUCCCUUCUAUGUAGAGAAGGGUUUAAGUUGGUAUUCGAGUCUAAUAAAUUAGUUGUUACGAAAUAUGGACUAUUUGUUGGAAAGGGUUAUGAAUGCGGAGGCAUGUUCCGCCUUUCUCUUGCAGAUCUAUGUAAUAAAGUCGUGAACAAUAUUCAUUUGAGUGUUAAUGAAUCUGACGUCUGGCAUUCACGUCUUUGUCACAUUAGUUUCGGUGUUAUGACGCGGCUAGCAAAAUUGAAUUUAAUCCCGAGUUUCAUUUUAGCCAAAGGUUCUAAGUGCCAUUCGUGUGUGCAAUCUAAGCAACCUCGCAAGCCUCACAAGGCAGCAGAGGAGAGACACUUGGCGUCACUGGAACUCAUACAUUCUGAUCUUUGUGAGAUGAAUGGUGUGUUGACUAAAGGUGGAAAUAAAUAUUUCAUGACUUUGAUAGAUGAUUCCACUAGAUAUUGCUAUGUGUAUAUGUUAAAUACUAAAGAUGAGACUCUACACUACUUCAAAAUCUAUAAUGCAGAAGUUGAGAAUCAACUUGAAAAGAAAAUUAAAUGAGUCCGGUCAGAUCGUGGUGGAGAGUACUUCUCGAAAGAGUUUGAUGCCUUUUGUGCGGAACACGGCAUUAUUCACGAGAGGACGCCUCCCUACUCACCCCAGUCAAACAGGGUUGCCAAGCGGAAAAAUCGUACUCUAACUGAUUUGGUUAAUGCCAUGUUAGAUACAUCGGGUUUAUCCAAGGCAUGGUGGGGGGAGGCUAUAAUGACAUCCUGUCAUGUCCUGAAUAAAGUUCGGACAAAGGAUAACGAGAUCACUCCUUACAAGAAGUGGACCAAGAGGAGGACAGCACUCUCGUACUUACGUACCUGGGGCUGCUUGGCGAAAGUUAAUGUGCUGAUCCCCAAAAAGCGUAAGCUUGGACCAAAGACUGUGGACUGUGUUAAUUUGGGCUAUGCUAUGAAUAGUGUUGGCUAUAGAUUUCUAGUAGUGAAAUCUGAGGUACCUGACAUGAAGGUCGGUACAAUUAUGGAGUCUAAAGAUGCUACAUUCUUUGAGGACAUUUUCCCCAUGAGAGAUGUAAAAAGCAUUUCUAGACAGGAAUCUGAGGAGACUCCUGAACCUGCCAUUCCGAUGGAAUAUUAUAAUCAAACACAUGAUGAAAAUCAUGAGGAGGAUAAUAAGGAAUCCCUUGGUAGGGGCAAGAGACAAAGGACUGUAAAGACCUUUGGUGAUGAUUUCUUCAUAUACCUCGUGGAGGAUAAUCCCACUUCUAUUUCAAAAGCGUAUGCAUCUCCAGAAGCUGACUACUGGAAGGAUGCGGUCCGUAGCGAGAUGGAUUCCAUCAUGGCUAACGGGACUUGGGAGCUUACUGAACGUCCUUAUGGUUGCAAACCAUUGGGAUGCAAGUGGGUGUUCAAGAAGAAGCUUAGGCCUGACGGUACGAUAGAAAAGUACAAGGCUAGGCUUGUGGCCAAGGGCUACGCCCAGAAAGAAGAAGAAGAUUUCUUCGACACUUAUUCACCUGUGGCCAGACUGACCACCAUUCGAGUAUUACUCUCGUUGGCGGCCUCACAUGGUCUUCUCAUUCAUCAGAUGGAUGUUAAGAUGACUUUCCUGAACGGAGAGCUAAAGGAGGAAAUCUAUAUGCAACAGCUUGAUGGCUUUUUUAUGGAUGGUCAGGAAGGAAACGUGUGUAAGUUGGUGAAAUCUUUGUAUGGCCUGAGACAAGCGCCUAAGCAAUGGCAUGACAAGUUUAAUGAAACGUUGACAUCUGUUGGCUUUGUUGUUAAUGAGGCCGUCAAAUGUGUAUACUAUCGCUAUGGUGGGGGCGAAGGAGUUAUACUGUGUUUGUAUGUUGAUGACAUACUGAUAUUUGGGACUAAUCUCAAGUUGAUCGAGGAGGUGGGAUUACACUUCUGCAAUCCCAUUAUGUUGAGAAGGUGUUGAGUCGUUUUGGAUAUUCGGACUGCAAACCAUCUCAAACACCAUAUGAUCCUAGUGUGCUGAUUCGAAAGUCUAAAGGCACAACUAUAGAUCAAUUGAGAUACUCUCAGAUUGUUGGUUCACUCCAGUAUCUAGCGAGUGCAACGAGGCCUGACAUCGCAUUUGCUAUUAGCAAACUGAGCUGAUUUGUUUCCAAACCGGGUGAUGCACAUUGGCGUGCUCUUGAGAGAGUUAUGCGCUAUCUGAAAUGUACUAUGAACUAUGGACUUCACUAUACCGGAUACCCGUCGGUACUUGAAGGGUAUAGUGAUGCGAAUUGGAUCUCUGAUGCUGAUGAGAUGAAGGCCACAACUAGGUAUAUGUUUACUCUUGGAGGUGGUGCUGUUUCCUGGAAGUCUUGCAAGCAAACGAUCUUAACAAGAUCGACAAUGGAAGCAGAAUUAACAGCAUUAGACACAUCGGGUGGCGAAGCAGAAUGGCUUCGAGAUCUGUUGAUGGACUUACCAGUGGUUGAGAAGCCGGUUCCGGCCAUCCUUAUGAACUGUGACAAUCAAACAGUUAUUCUCAAGGUGAAGAGUUCAAAGGAUAACAUGAAGUCCAACAAACACAUAAGAAUGAGAUUGAAAGCUGUCAGAAAAUUGAGGAACUCCGGAGUGAUAGGGUUGAAUUAUAUUCAAACGGCUAAGAAUCUAGCAGAUCCCUUUACUAAAGGGCUAUCACGUGUUGUGAUAGAUAGCGCAUCAAGGGAGAUGGGUAUGAGACCCACAUGAGUUGCCAUGGUAGUAACUCAACCUAUGUGAUCGGAGAUCCCGUGAAGUAGGACCUGGGAAAACAAGCCAGUGGUGAACUGAGGAGAGUAACUUUACUAACCCACUCCGUUGGAGAUGCAAUACUCUCGGAAACUGUAUGGAAGGAUGACUACUGUCUUAAUGUGUUCCAAGGCUUAUAUGCAUAAGCAAGAAGCUAUCCUACAGAGCGAUCUUUGGAGGAACACACCUAUAUGAGCCCGACUGCUGGUCACAGUCUAUGAGAUUGGGGUGAUCUCUAGCAAGCUCAUGAACAGGCCAGGAGUGUGACUAAUAUGCUCCACCCAAGGGGUCGGCCUUCGGCAGCCUCGUAUCAGUGAGACUUGUGGUGAAACUUUUUGACACCAAACUGACAAUUCAAGCCAUAGUCCACUGUUCAGUUGUGAAGGAGUGUAACUACUUGGUCUGGGUGGAGCUCAACCUUAAUCGGUCUCCACUGAGAUGCUGGUAUAUCAAAACAGCGUUUGGAACAAAGGACAAACUGGACCCCUGAGAUCUGGUGGGGGAUUGUUGAAAUAUGAGAUAGGCCUAGAGCCCAUAUCACAAUUUCAGAUUUGAUCUCUAAGGGCCCAUGUAGGUGGCAUGACAAGGUGGUGGGAAGUUUAGUCCCACCUCGGAAGUGGAAGGAGAGUUGGAGUGGUUUAUAAGGGAUUCUUGUUGGGGAACGUAGCAGAAAUUCAAAAUUUUCUACGCAUCACCAAGAUCAAUCUAUGGAGUAAUCUAGCAACGAGGGAAGGAGAGUGCAUCUACAUACCCUUGUAGAUCGCUAAGCGGAAGCGUUCAAGUGAACGGGGUUGAUGGAGUCGUACUCGUCGUGAUCCAAAUUACCGAUGAUCCUAGUGCCGAACGGAUGGCACCUCCGUGUUCAACACACGUACAGCCCGGUGACGUCUCCUACGCCUUGAUCCAGCAAGGGGAGAAGGAGAGGUUGGGAAGACUCCAUCCAGCAGCGGCACGACGGCGUGGUGGUGAUGGAGGAGCGUGGCAAUCCUGCAGGGCUUCGCUAAGCACCACGGGAGAAGAGGAGGACUUGGGAGAGGGGGAGGGCUGCGCCAAGACUUGGGGUGCGGCUGCCCUCCCACCCCCCACAUAUAUAUAUAGGGGCAAGGAGAGGGGGGUCCGGCCCCCUCAGAUCCAAUCUGAGGAGGGGGCGGCGGCCAAGGGGGGUUGCCUUGCCCCCCAAGGCAAGGGGGGCGCCCCCCUUUUAGGGUUCCUCCAAACCCUAGGCGCAUGGGCCCUAGGGGGGAGGCGCCCAGCCCACUAAGGGGCCGGUCCCUCUCCAUGUACAGCCCAUAGGGCCCUCCGGGGCAGGUGGACCCUCCCGGUGGACCCCCGGAACCCCUCCGGUGGUCCCGGUACAAUACCGGUAACCCCCAAAUUAUUCCGGUGACCGUAUGAUGACUUCCCAUAUAUAAAUCUUUACCUCCGGACCAUUCCGGAACUCCUCGUGACGUCCGGGAUCUCAUCCGGGACUCCGAACAACAUUCUGUAACCAUGUAUAUCUAUUCCCUAUAACCCUAGCAUCAUCGAACCUUAAGUGUGUAGACCCUACGGGUUCGGGAAACAUGCAGACAUGACCGAGACACCUCUCCGGUCGAUAACCAACAGCGGGAUCUGGAUACCCAUGUUGGCUCCCACAUGCUCCACGAUGAUCUCAUCGGAUGAACCACGAUGUCAAGGACUUAAUCAAUCCCGUAUACAAUUCCCUUCGUCUAGCGGUACGAUACUUGCCCGAGAUUCGAUCGUCGGUAUCCUGAUACCUGGUUCAAUCUCGUUACCGGCAAGUCUAUUUUACUCGUUCCGUAACACAUAAUCCCGUGAUCAACUCCUUGAUCACAUUGUGCACAUUAUGAUGAUGUCCUACUGAGUGGGCCUAGAGAUACCUCUCCAUUUACACGGAGUGACAAAUCCCAGUCUCAAUUCGUGCCAACCCAACAGACACUUUCGGAGAUACCUGUAGUGUACCUUUAUAGCCACCCGGUUACGUUGUGACAUUUGGCACACCCAAAGCACUCCUAUGGUAUCCGGGAGUUGCACAAUCUCAUGGUCUAAGGAAAUGAUACUUGACAUUAGAAAAGCUUUAGCAUACGAACUACAUGAUCUUGUGCUUGGCUUAGGAUUGGGUCUUGUCCAUCACAUCAUUCUCUUAAUGAUGUGACCCCGUUAUCAACGACAUCCAAUGUCCAUGGUCAGGAAACCGUAACCAUCUAUUGAUCAACGAGCUAGUCAACUAGAGGCUUACUAGGGACAUGGUGUUGUCUAUGUAUCCACACAUGUAUCUGAGUUUCCUAACAAUACAAUUCUAGCAUGGAUAAUAAACGAUUAUCAUGAACAAGGAAAUAUGAUAAUAACUAAUUUAUUAUUUCCUCUAGGGCAUAUUUCCAAUAGUCUCCCACUUGCACUAGAGUCAAUAAUCCAGUUCACAUCGCUGUGUGAUUAACACUCAAGGUCACAUCCCCAUGUGACUAACACCCAAAGAGUUUACUAGAGUCAAUAAUCUAGUUUACAUUACCAUGUGAUUAACACUCGAUGAGUUCUGGGUUUGAUCAUGUUAUGCUUGUGAGAGAUGUUAUAGUUAACGGGUCUGAACCUUUCAGAUCCGUGUGUGAUUUACAAAUCUCUAUGUCAUCUCCUAGAUGCAGCUACCACAUUCUAUUUGGAGCUAUUCCAAAUAACUGUUCUACUAUACGAAUCCAGUUUACUACUCAGAAUAAUCUGGAUUAGUGUCAAAGUUUGCAUCGGCGUAACCCUUUACAACGAACUCUUUUACCACCUCCAUAAUCGAGAAAAUUCCUUAGUCCACUAGUUACUAAGGAUAACUUUGACCGCUGUCCUGUGAUCCAUUAUUGGAUCACUCUUGUACCCAUUGACUGACUCAUGGCAAGGCACACUUCAGGUGAGGUACACAGCAUAGCAUACUGUAGAGAGCCUGUGACAAAAGCAUAGGGGACGACCUUCGUCCUUCCUCUUUCUUCUGCCGUGGUCGAGCUUUAAGUCUUAACUUCAUACCUUACAACUCAGGCAAGAACUCCUUCUUUGACUGAUCCAUCUUGAACACCUUCAAGAUCAUGUCAAGGUAUGUGCUCAUUUGAAAGUAUCAUUAAGCAUUUUGAUCUAUCCUUAUAGAUCUUGAUGCUCAAUGUCCAAGUAGCUUAAUCCAGGCUUUCCAUUGAAAAACACUUUCCAAAUAACCCUAUAUGCUUUCCAGAAAUUCUACGUCAUUUCUGAUCAACAAUAUGUCAACAACAUAUAUUCAUCAGAAAUUCUAUAGUGCUCCCACUCACUUCUUUGGAAAUACAAGUUUCUCAUAAACUUUGUAUAAACCCAAAAUCUUUGAUCAUCUCAUCAAAGCAUACAUUCCAACUCCGAGAUGCUUACUCCAGUCCUUAGAAGGAUUGCUGGAGCUUUGCAUACUUGUUAGCAUCUUUUAGGAUUGACAAAACCUUCCGGUUGUAUCACAUACAACCUUUCCUCAAGAAAAUCGUCGAGGAAACAAUGUUUUGAUAUCCUAUCUGCAAUAUUUCAUAAAUAUUGCAGUAAUCGCUAAUAUAAUUCCAACAGACUCUUAGCAUCGCUACGAGUGAGAAAGUCUCAUCGUAGUAAACUUCUUGAACUUGUCGGAAAACAUCUUAACGACAAGUAGAGCUUUCUUAAUGGUGAUACUUACCAUCAUUGUCCGUCUUCCUUUUAAAAUCCAUAUGUACCUAACAGCCUUACGACCAUCAAGUAGUUCUUCCAAAGUCUACACUUUGUUUUCAUAUAUGGAUCCUCUCUCGGAUUAUAUGGCCUCGAGCCAUUUUGGAAUCCAGGCCCACCAUCACUUCUCCAUAGCUCGUAGGUUCAUUGUUGUCUAGCAACAUGACUUCCAAGACAGGAUUACGUACCACUCUGAAGUAGUACGCAUCCUUGUCAUCCCACGAGGUUUGGUAGUGACUUGAUCUAAAGUUUCAUGAUCACUAUCAUAAGCUUCCACUUCAAUUGGUGUAGGUGCCACAGGAACAACUCCCUGUGCCCUGCCACACACUAGUUGAAGAGACGGUUCAAUAACCUCAUAAAGUCUCCACCAUCCUCCCACUCAAUUCUUUCGAGAGAAACUUUUCCUCGGGAAAGGACCCGAUUCUAGAAACAAUCCCUUGUUGCUUUCGGAUCUGAAAUAGGAGGUAUACCCAACUGUUUUGGGUGUCCUAUGAAGAUGCAUUUAUCCGCUUUGGGUUCGAGCUUGUCAGCCUGAAACUUUUCAUAUAAGCGUCGCAGCCCCAAACUUUUAAGAAAUGACAGCUUAGGUUUCUCUAAACCAUAGUUCAUACGGUGUCAUCUCAUCGGAAUUACGUGGUGCCCUAUUUAAAGUGAAUGUGGUUGUCUCUAAUGCCUAACCCAUAAUCUAUCGUGGUAAUUCGAUAAGAGACAUCAUGGUAUGCAUCAUAUCCAAUAGGGUGCAGUUAUGAUGUUUGGACACACCAUUACACUAUGGUGUUCCAGGCUGUAUUAGUUGUGAAACAAUUUCCACAAUGUCUUAAUUCUGUGCCAAACUCGUAAUUCAGAUAUUCAUAUCUAUGAUCAUAUCAUAGAUAUUUUAUCCUCUUGUCACGGCGAUCUUUCAACUUCACCCUGAAAUUACUUGAACCUUUCAAUAAUUCAGACUCGUGAUUCAUCAAGUAAAUAUACUCAAUAUCUACUCAAAUCAUCUGUGAAGUAAGAACAUAACGAUAUCCACUACACGCCUCAGCACUCAUUGGACUGCACACAUCAAAAUGUAUUACUUCCAACAAGUUGCUUUCUAGUUCCAUUUUACUGAAAACGAGGCUUUAAGUCAUCUUGCCCAUGUGGUAUGAUUUGCAUGUCUCAAGUGAUUCAAAAACAAGUGAGUCCAAACGGUCCAUUUGCAUGGGGUUUCUUCAUGCAUAUACACCAAUAGACAUGGUUGGCAUGUCUCAAACUUUUCAAAAACGAGUGAGCCCAAAGAUCCAUCAACAUGGAGCUUCUUCAUGCGUUUUAUACCGAUAUGACUUAUGUGGCAGUGCCACAAGUAGGUGGUACUAUCAUUACUAUCUUAUAUCUUUUGGCAUGAACAUGUGUAUCACUACGAUCGAGAUUCAGUAAACCAUUCAUUUUAGGUGCAAGACCAUUGAAGGUAUUAUUCAAAUAAACAGAGUAACCAUUAUUCUCCUUAAAUGAAUAACCGUAUUGCGAUAGACAUAAUCCAAUCAUGUCUAUGCUCAAUGCAAACACCAAUCUCGAUGGUAGAGGGAGCGUGCGAUGCUUGAUCACAUCAAGCUUGGAAAAAACUUCCAACACAUAUCGCCAGCUCACCUUUAGCUAGUCUCCGUUUACUCCGCAGCCUUUUAUUUCGAGUUUACUAACACUUAGCAACCGAAUCGGUAUAUAAUACCAUGGUGCUACUAGGAGUACUAGUGAAGUACACAUUAACACAAUGUAUAUCCAAUAUACUUCUAUCGACCUUGCCAGCCUUCUCAUCUACCAAGUAUCUAGGGUAAUUCUACUCCAGUGGUUGUUCCUCUUAUUACAGAAGCACUUAGUCUCGGGUUUGGGUUCAACCUUGGGUUUCUUCACUAGAGCAGCAGCUGAAUUGCCGUUUCAUGAAGUAUCCCUUCUUGCCCUUGCCCUUGCCCUUCUUGAAACUAGUGGUUUCACCAACCAUCAACAAUUGAUGCUCCUUCUUGAUUUCUACUUUUGUGGUGUCAAACAUCGCGAAUAUCUCAAGGAUCAUCAUAUAUGUCCCUGAUAUAUUAUAGUUCAUCACGAAGCUCUAGCAGCUUGGUGGUAAUGACUUCGGAGAAACAUCACUAUCUCAUCUGGAAGAUCAACUCCCACUCGAUUCAAAUGAUUGUUGUACUCAGACAAUCUGAGCACAAGCUCAACAAUUGAGCUUUUCUCCCUUAGUUUGCAGGCUAAGAAAAUCGUCGGAGGUCUUAUACCUCUUGACGUGGGCACGAGCCUGAAAUCCCAAUUUCAGCCCUCGAAACAUCUCAUAUGUUUUGCGACGUUUCAAAAUGUCUUCGGUACCUCAACUCUAAACCGUUUAACUAAACUAUCACGUAGUUAUCAAAAUGUGUAUGUCAGACAUUCACAGAUGACAUUCGAGGUUCAGCACACUGAGCGGUGCAUUAAGGACAUAAGCCUUCUAUGAAGCAAUGAGGACAAUCCUCAGUUUACGGACCUAGUCCGCAUAAUUGCUACUGUCAUCUUUCAACUAAAUUUUCUCUAGGAUCAUAUCUAAACAGUAGAAAUGAAGCGCGAGCUACGACAUAAUUUGCGAAGACCUUUUGACUAUGUUCAGGAUAAUUAAGUUCAUCUUAUGAACUCCCACUCAGAUAGACAUCCCUCUAGUCAUCUAAGUGAUUACAUGAUCUGAGUCAACUAGGCUGUGUCCGAUCAUCACGUGAGACGGACUAGUCAUCAUCGGUGAACAUCUUCAUGUUGAUCGUAUCUACCAUACGACUCAUGCUCGACCUUUCGGUCUCUUGUGUUCCGAGGCCAUGUCUGUACAUGCUAGGCUCGUCAAGUCAACCUAAGUGUUUCGCAUGUGUCCCGAGGCCAUGUCUGUACAUGCUAGGCUCGUCAACACCCGUUGUAUUCGAACGUAAGAAUCUAUCACACCCGAUCAUCACGUGGUGCUUCGAAAUGACGAACUUUCGCAACGGUGCACAGUUAGGGGGAACACUUUCUUGAAAUUUUAAUGAGGGAUCAUCUUAUUUACUACCGCCGUUCUAAGCAAAUAAGAUGUAUAAACAUGAUAAACAUCACAUGCAAUCAAAUAGUGACAUGAUAUGGCCAUCAUCACUUUGCUCCUUUUGAUCUCCAUCUUCGGGGCUCCAUGAUCAUCGUUGUCACCGGCAUGACACCAUGAUCUCCAUCAUCGUGUCUUCUUGAAGUUGUCUCGUCAUCUAUUACUUCUACUACUAUGGCUAACACUUUAGCAAUAAAGUAAAGUAAUUACAUGACGUUUAUGUUGACACACGGGUCAUAAAUAAAUUAAGACAACUCCUAUGGCUCCUGCCGGUUGUCAUACUCAUCAAGAUGCAAGUCGUGAUUCCUAUUACAAGAACAUGAUCAAUCUCAUACAUCACAUAUAUCAUUCAUCACAUCCUUUUGGCCAUAUCACAUCACAAGGCAUAUGCUGCAAAAACAAGUUAGACGUCCUCUAAUUAUUGUUGCAAGUUUUUUUACGUGGCUGCUAUAGGUUGUUAGCAAGAACGUUUCUUACCUACGCCAAAACCACAACGUGAAUUGUCAAUUUCUAUUUACUCUUCAUAAGGACCCUGUUCAUCGAAUCCGACCCGACUAAAGUGGGAGAGACAGACACCCACCAGCCACCUUAUGCAACUAGUGCAUGUUAGUCGGUGGAACCAGUCUCACGUAAGCGUACGUGUAAGGUUGGUCCGGGCCGCUUCAUCCCACGAUGCCGCCGAAUCAAGAUAAGACUAGUAACGGCAAGAUAAUUGACAAUAUCGACGCCCACAACUACUUUGUGUUCUACUCGUGCAUAGUAACUACGCAUAGACCUAGCUCAUGAUGCCACUGUUGGGGAACGUAGCAGAAAUCCAAAAUUUUCUACGCAUCACCAAGAUCAAUCUAUGGAGUAAUCUAGCAACGAGGGGAAGGAGAGUGCAUCUACAUACCCUUGUAGAUUGCUAAGCGGAAGCGUUCAAGUGAACGAGGUUGAUGGAGUCGUACUCGUCGUGAUCCAAAUCACCGAUGAUCCUAGUGCCGAACGGAUGGCACCUCCGUGUUCAACACACGUACAGCCCGGUGGCGUCUCCUACUCCUUGAUCCAGCAAGGGGAGAAGGAGAGGUUGGGAAGACUCCAUCCAGCAGCAGCACGACGGCGUGGUGGUGAUGGAGGAGCGUGGCAAUCCUGCAGGGCUUCGCUAAGCACCACGGGAGAAGAGGAGGACUUGGGAGAGGGGGAGGGCUGCACCAAGACUUGGGGUGCGGCUGCCCUCCCACCCCCCACAUAUAUAUAGGGGCAAGGGAGAGGGGGGCCGGCCCCCUCAGAUCCAAUCUGAGGAGGGGGCGGCGGCCAAGGGGGGUUGCCUUGCCCCCCAAGGCAAGGGGGGCGCCCCCCUUUUAGGGUUCCCCCAAACCCUAGGCGCAUGGGCCCUAGGGGGGAGGCGCCCAGCCCACUAAGGGGCUGGUCCCUCUCCACAUACAGCCCAUAGGGCCCUCCGAGGCAGGUGGACCCUCCCGGUGGACCCCCGGAACCCCUCCGGUGGUCCCGGUACAAUACCGGUAACCCCCGAAUUAUUCCGGUGACCGUAUGAUGACUUCCCAUAUAUAAAUCUUUAUCUUCGGACCAUUCCGAACUCCUCGUGACGUCUGGGAUCUCAUCCGGGACUCCGAACAACAUUCGGUAACCACGUAUAUCUAUUCCCUAUAACCCUAGCAUCAUCGAACCUUAAGUGUGUAGACCCUACGGGUUCGGGAAACAUGCAGACAUGACCGAGACACCUCUCCGGCCAAUAACCAACAGCGGGAUCUGGAUACCCAUGUUGGCUCCCACAUGCUCCACGAUGAUCUCAUCGGAUGAACCACGAUGUCAAGGACUUAAUCAAUCCCGUAUACAAUUCCCUUCGUCUAGCGAUACGAUACUUGCCCGAGAUUCGAUCGUCGGUAUCCCGAUACCUGGUUCAAUCUCGUUACCGGCAAGUCUCUUUUACUCGUUCCGUAACACAUCAUCCCGUGAUCAACUCCUUGAUCACAUUGUGCACAUUAUGAUGAUGUCCUAUCGAGUGGGCCCAGAGAUACCUCUCCGUUUACACGGAGUGACAAAUCCCAGUCUCGAUUCGCGCCAACCCAACAGACACUUUCAGAGAUACCUGUAGUGUACCUUUAUAGCCACCCGGUUACGUUGUGACAUUUGGCACACCCAAAGCACUCCUACGGUAUCCGGGAGUUGCACAAUCUCAUGGUCUAAGGAAAUGAUACUUGACAUUAGAAAAGCUUUAGCAUACGAACUACAUGAUCUUGUGCUAGGCUUAGGAUUGGGUCUUGUCCAUCACAUCAUUCUCCUAAUGAUGUGACCUCGUUAUCAACGACAUCCAAUGUCCAUGGUCAGGAAACCGUAACCAUCUAUUGAUCAACGAGCUAGUCAACUAGAGGCUUACUAGGGACAUGGUGUUGUCUAUGUAUCCACACAUGUAUCUGAGUUUCCUAACAAUACAAUUCUAGCAUGGAUAAUAAACGAUUAUCAUGAACAAGGAAAUAUGAUAAUAACUAAUUUAUUAUUGCCUCUAGGCACUGGUAGAAAAAGGGCCUUUAGUCCCGGUUUGUAAGGGCCUUUAGAACCGAGACUAAAGGGUCGGUACUAAUGCCCUAACCCUUUAGUCCCGGUUCAAUCCUGAACCAGGACUAAAGGCCCUCCACGUGGCCCGUCCACCUUUAGUCCCGGUUGGUAACACCAACCGGUACUAAAGGAAAUUUUCUGAUUUUUUUUUGAAAUAUUUUUUGAAUUUUUUUUUAUUUUCAAAUUUCUGAAUUAUUUUAACCUCUAAUCUCUAAUCACCCCUCAUCGCUGCUCAAUUUAAUCUCUAAUCACCCCUCAUCAUUCCAAAUUAUCUAACUUCCCGAACGGUCACCCAUCCUCUCACUACUCCAGCCUGAGCACGCUUAACUUCCGGGUUCUAUUCUCCCUCGUUUCCAAGUCUGCACUUGUUGUUUUCCUGACAAUAGUAAGAUGUCAAUCCUAUUAACCCUCAGGAAUUUAGCUUGAGCAUGAAGUCACAUAUUUCACUGUUUGAGUUUAAAACUAUUGUUCUAAAAAAUAAUAAAUUUUUACUAACACUAAUAUUUCUUGAAUAAGUAGUUUGACCAUUGUUUGACCACAGUUUGACCAUAGUUUGACCAUAGUUUGACCAGAUUUGACCAAAAUUCAAAAAAGGUGAAAUAAUUAUUUAAUAACACUAAUAUUCUUGAAUAAUUAUUUAGUAACACUAAUACUUCUUGAAUAAGUAGUUUGACCAUAGUUUGACCAGAUUUACUGAAAAUUUUAAAAAACUGAAAUUUGAGCAUAACUUUUUUUCCUUUUGGAAUUUGAGGAUUCUACAAAUUUGCAAACAGGCCAUAGGCCGUCCCCAUCGGAUGUAACUUUUCGAGUAGAUGAUUUUUCAUAUAAAAAACUUUUUAAUCCGAGUUCGUAUGCAAAAGUUAUGCCCAUUUUACAAAUUCCAGAGAGAUUUUGUAAAUAAAGUCGAAAUUCAUAUUUGUAAAUUUUCCCAACAACUAGACCACAUAUCACAUGGAAAACUUAUUUUAUUUUAUUUUUAUUGACAUUNNNNNNNNNNNNNNNNNNNNNNNNNNNNNNNNNNNNNNNNNNNNNNNNNNNNNNNNNNNNNNNNNNNNNNNNNNNNNNNNNNNNNNNNNNNNNNNNNNNNNNNNNNNNNNNNNNNNNNNNNNNNNNNNNNNNNNNNNNNNNNNNNNNNNNNNNNNNNNNNNNNNNNNNNNNNNNNNNNNNNNNNNNNNNNNNNNNNNNNNNNNNNNNNNNNNNNNNNNNNNNNNNNNNNNNNNNNNNNNNNNNNNNNNNNNNNNNNNNNNNNNNNNNNNNNNNNNNNNNNNNNNNNNNNNNNNNNNNNNNNNNNNNNNNNNNCCUGGUUGGUGGCACCAACCGGGACUAAAGGUCUAACCUUUAGUACCGGUUGGUGCCACCAACCGGGACCAAUGGGCAUCGCUCCCUUUAGUCCCGGUUCGUGGCACGAACCGGGACUAAAUGGCCCAGGUGAACCGAGACUAAUGCCUUAGCCACACGAACCGGGAUAAAUGCACCCAUUGGUCCCGGUUCUGGACUGAACCGGGACUAAUGGGCUUACCCGGCCUGGACCAAAGCCCCCUUUUCUACUAGUGAGGGCAUAUUUCCAACAAUUCUCUCCCUCGUGCUAUUGGAUCUUGAGAAGAGAUGAGGCCCUCGCGCACUCCUCCUCUGCUUGCCUCGCCACGCCUCGUCACGACGCACGCGGGUUGCGGGAUUGAGCCGAGCCAAGCUCACUCCUAUGCGCUUCUUUUUGCCGGUCAGGAACGGAGAGUCUUUAACAGGUAGGGCCACGAUCGGAGACGUCGGAUCGUGGGCUACCGACUUGGACGUGGGUUCAGCCCACGUCUCUCCACACGCAGCCGCACAUAUAUAUGUGGGGCGCUGCCAACCCUAGCCGCCACGAAACCGAACGCAUCUCCGCCUCCACGCCCACGUCGUUCCUCUGCUGCUGCCGCCGCCGGCGACUCCGUCCAGUUCACCGCGUACAUGGUUGAUGGGAGAGCAGGCCUCCGAAACCCCGCCUCUCCGGAUCCUGUACGGGAGAGGGGCGAUUAGGUUUUUGGGUAGCGACUACGCGACUGCUCGCUUCUGUUCAUCUACGUCUGCAUCACCUUCGUCAUCACCAUGUCGAUCGACGCCGACCGUGCCGUGCUGAGAAGGCCGAGGCCGACAAGAAGGCCGCCGAGGAUGCCGCGGCUGCUGCCACCGCCACCACCGCCGCGUGGCCGAUUGGAGGGUAUACAUCGUUUAUCCCUCUCGUGUUUCUUUCUGUUGUAGCAGUACUAGCGAUAUGCAUAGAUGUUUUUACUAUAUGCGUAGUACAUGCUCUGUUAGAUCGUAAUCAGUGUGUUAUCAAUGUUGUCCAUGUCAUGCUCAUGAUUUAUUCAUGAAUUAAUUUAAUCGAAAAACUGCCUAUUUUCUUAUCAGUUCCCGUCCCGAUACUGGUCCACUGCCCUCACGUGCGCGGCGGGCAGUCUGCAGUCAGCCGCGGCUGCCGCGGCGGCGACCGUCCUAGCACCCCGCGAGGGCUGGGCGGCGGAGUGGAGGAUGGGGUGGGACCUGCGCCUGGCCACAGUGGUGUACUCCGGGGUCUUCAACACCGGCGUCACGUUCGUGCUCGUGUCGUGGGCGGUGGCGCGUCGUGGGCCUGUGUACCCUCCCAUGUUCAACUCCCUGUCGCUCAUUGCCACGACUGCGGUUGACGCCGGCAUGCUCGGCACUGACCUCUACCUCGACGGUGUUCUCGGGACGGGCCUUGUCGUCAUCGGGCUCUACGCGUUCCUCUGGGGCAAAGGCAAGGAGCUCGCUGCCGCCAAGGCGGGCAACGGCGAGCAGAAGCUGCAGUGUGUACACGCCGAUGAUGGCAUUGCCUAGCGGUUUGGCCUAGCAAGCCAGAGCAGUCCAUACAGAAUUAACUGAACUAUUAGUCCUAACUUGAAAUUGUCCGCGAAUCAACCUGUGGUUGGAUGGUUAGAGGGACUGCGGUAUCCCCAGCUCAUCAGGGUUCAAAUCCUGAUGCUAGCAGUUAUUCCCGGAUUUAUUUCAGGAUUUCCGGCGAUGCGCACUCAGUGGGUGGAGACGUUCCUGUCGACGACGAGGUGCCUACGGUGACUUCGUAUAAAUAUCAAGAUGAUAUGCCGGCUCAGUUUUUCGGAGGUGCUCCUAGAGGUAGGAUGUGCAUGUGUGCAUUCAUAGGGAUGAGUGUAUGCGCGUGUAUAUGAGCGCAAACUUGAAAUUGUCCUUGACAAACACUACUACAUGAGGAUUUUUCUUUUCUCUUUCUAAAAUAGUAUUGUGCUGACGUGGCUAGUGCACGGCAAAUUGAACGUUUUUUAUGGCAAUUCAUAUUGCCACGAGGAUGGCAAAUCUUCACCAAGCACCAGAAAUCCUAUGAUAAGAAAAGAAUGCUAAAGAAAAUUACAAUCCUUAGACAAUAUAAAUUGCCAUAAAAACCGUUUGAUUUGCCAUGCCCUCCAGCAAACAUUUGCUGCUAUCAAAAUCCUUUUUUUUAUACAAGAUCCCUUCUUUGUUAUUGAUGGUCUAAUAAUGAUUGUUAUAAUUAGCCAGUCCAUGUGCACUCUUGUACUAGUAGAAUAAAGAAGGGAUUAGUCAGUCACCGAAACUACUCAAAAAAAGAAAAUAAGAAUCACCGAACCUACUCAGAUGCUAAUUGCUGCUAUAUGUACGAAAGUGCUCUGGUGAGCUCAAGCUCACAUGCACCCUUGCUACAGUAUAAUUUUAAAUAUAUAUAUUUUAAAAAGAAAAAAACUGAAGUUUUUGGCCAACAAACAUUGUUGUGUUUUUCACAUGCGUGCAAACUUUCAUGUCAAAAUGGCAUUCAUGCAGGUCAUGACAAAACAACAAAAUCGAUGCUCCAAAGUGCUUCCAAAACAGUUUUUUAGCAUGAUUUUGCAUUUUUCCCGAGACCUCCACAAAUGUCAUUCCAUCACCAAAAUUGGCCCGCAUGUGAAACACAUAUCAAUGGUUGUUGCAAAAAAGUUUCAAUUGUACUGUAGCAAAUGGUGCAUGUGAGCUCGAGCUCACAUACUCCAUGCCCCUAUACAUACACAUACACAACUGUAUAUACCUUCUAGAGUUGUAAUCGCACUAGAAAUAAAUAAAGUAAACAAUAGCCACACAUGCCCGUGUUUUCUUUCUUCAAAAAAGUGUUGUGAGCUCUGUCAUUUCUAUUAGGAGGAGUGAGAAAUUGUACAUAAUCAGACUACAGAUACACUAGGCCUUGCCUAGGGUUAUGUGCUAUCUAACAGAGGAACAACGCCCAUCAUCUUGAACAACUCUGUGAAAGGCCAUUGCUCUCUCCCUCAUAAGUUCCCUGAUCAUAUAGAGCGUUGUUGUCACUGUCCUAUAUUCAUUCCUAAAAAUCCAAUCAUUUUGUUUGUUCCAUAUUUGUCAGGCGCUGUAAAACCUGACCACAUCGAGCCUCCUGUCUAAUUUCGGUGCGUCCUUCAUGUCGAUCGACCACCAAUCUGCAUACUUGUCCGGAACUGGAGCGGUUGUGGGGGCUGGCUGAAUCUCUUGGAAGCCCGAGGAGGAUGCCAUUCCUACAAAUUUGCGUAGUAGCAAAGUUGCAGGCUAUAAAGAGAUGGACAACGGACUCGGUAGCCGAGCCACAUAUCAGACAAAUUUGCGUAGUAGCAAAGUUUGUCGGUUGUGAGCAGUCCACCAUGCGCUAGAAGGAAAAUCCUGUUGUCACUAACUUGCUAGGAGGGGUCUCCUAUACCACUACCAUAGUUAGCAUGGAACCGUCUUCUCAAAAGUUUAUCAAAUACCAAUUGGCUUACUUGAGCAUAUGAGAACUAACCAUUAUGUAGGAUAUGAAACCGUUCAUCCAUGUUGGAAUUAUGUGUCCUGCAACUAUAUUCAAAUUACUAGGAGUUAAUAAUAUUCGGAAUACCUCAUUAUGGAAUUACUUUACAUGAUUAUUAUGAAAUUAUCACUUGUUGGAACGUACUUAAGUUAUAUACUUAAGGAAGCUGAUCGAUUAUCAGUGGAAUACAAUAUACUAUUUAUAUUGCAAAGACUACCCGGGUAUAGUGAUAAUCGGAAGGAGCUAGAUCGUAUAGUUAGAUUACAGCCCUAAUGUUGAUCUAUAUGAUUAGAGGAAUUUACACUCUAUUAUGACGCGUUGCUCACAAGCGCGUGCUCCAGGGACAUAACGGGUAGAUUCCGUUAACAGACAAAUAUGAUCGUGGUUGAUAAUUUGAUCUGGACUCUAUCCCGGAAACUAAUGAAAAAAAAACUAGGAAUCUUAUAUUUGAAUAAAAGGUGGACUCUUUGGAAAGACAAUAUAAGAAGGUCCCUGCCCCCUAGCCUCAGACAUGCGAAUUGUGAGCUGCACCACGGAUAAGCGCAGAGAAAUAGAGGGUAGACCACAAACCCUAAAUUUCCAACAUUGAUAUCUUGAGCCAUGUUCGGCCGCCGUUGCUUCAACCCAAAAUCCGCUGCGUAAUCUGUCGCCUGUUAGCCGCCGCUCGGAUCCUAAUCCGCUGUGCAACUCUCACGGUCAUCGCCGCCGUAUUUUAUUCGGGUGCUGCAUCCAGGUUCAAGUCUCUGAUUCUUGCAUGUUCACGUGGAUCAAGACGGAGGGAACCAAGACUGCUACGCACGAGUUAUACUACUACUGGACACAGGAAUCAAUAAUGCUCUUCUAAGUACGUGCGCAUAGUUGUCGGUACCUUGCUUCGGAAUCCAGCCCACGGGAUCUUCGACACGCGCCAAGCUAGCUCCAAGUCGGCCCUCAUCGACCUCGAGCGGAACCGGUGGCCUUCAGCCAUGCCCAGUCGACGUCAAGUGGAACCCUGCGCCUCCUGUGGCGGCCGUUCGUCCGUGCACUCGCAAGUUCUCUGCGCUGACAAGGUUGUUGCUACGAUAUCUUCACCCGAGGAUUCGCUAAGCUAAACGAGCCAGCUGCUCGGAAACUGCAUGUCACGUCCACGCCUAUUGCUGCUCCAAUCGAUUUUUUACGUCGCAAGUUCUACCUGAUGACUUGGUGAUUCUUCAGCCAAAACACUCCAUUGCACUCAGAUUGAGGAAGGUAAUCAUAAUCCCAACUUCUGCACCACACGGAUCCAUGUGGACGGCGGAAAGAUUAUAGCCUGAGCAUUCACGUAUACGUAAUUGAUGCUUGCCUCCUGGAUUAUUCUGCUGCCAGUUUUUACUUAGACUGGUUUAUCAAGUGUCUACAAAUUGGUAACGUUUUUUUUCGGCAAUGGUAUUAAAUAAUAUUUUCUUUGAGUCAGUUAAUUCUUGGGGAGAUUACGGUUUGGAAAAGAUAAGCCAUAUUUUUUGUUUCCUGAAGAGAACAAAUGUUUUGCUACUGAUGACUAAAACAAACCGGAAAAGGCCAAAAUUAAAAUGCCACUGUUGAGGAAAAGGGAAAAGGAAAUAUAUAUAUUAUGGAUAGAAAAUGAUUGCAUAAUUCUCUGGGAUCAAUCUAGUGUUCUUUGGCUAAAUAAAUUGCAUGGAAAUAAUGUGCAAUCUGAAACACAUUUUUUGUGGAAUAUCUCUCAAAAAUAUAGAUUGAUGACCUUUUUUAUUUUUGCAAAGUGCAAGUCAUUGUUGUAUUAAACUCUAUACCAAAAUUAUUGCGAUAAUUUUACAUACACUUGUCGUCGUGAGUGGUUAUACAAUCUGCGCUAUAUGGGAUACUAUUUUUUCUAUUGAGGAAGACAGAAAAACUCUUCGAGGGAAUGAUCUGGUCAAUUAUGGUUGACUACACCUUGAAGAGGAAGAUACAAUAUUUCAAAUAGAAUUGGCUAAGAGGAACUGUCUAUUAUGGAACAUCACUUAUUUAUGGAGGAAGGUAGAAACCACUAUGUGGACAAGGAAAAUUGCUCUUCAUCUGUCAGUAUGUUUAAUGAUAUUAUUUGCACUAUAUUUAUUUAUUUGGGGCUACUUUUUCAAGUAGUUGGAUUGUGGACAUGUCUUAUUGCUGGAAUACAAUAGCAAUUUAAUUGACAUACAAACAAUUUCAAAGGAAAUUAUAGUAUUUAUGUGCUUUGUCAUUGCUGCUAAAUCUGCUACACUUUGGAAUUGGAAAUUUUGCCAUGAAACUCCCUUGUGGAGGAAAACUAUUAUUGUUAUAGAGCACUCUGUGAAACUUCAGUGAGAAGGUAUUUGAUUUAUUGUUCUAUCUUUGUGUCUAUUGACUGUCAUUCUAUUUGGAAAAGGAAGAGUAAACAUAUUGCUCAAUGGUAAAAUUAGUACAUUAUGGAAUUUUAUACGAUGGUCUCUUAUUUGUUGAUGGUCCAAUGAAUGUUGGCAACCCAAACUGUUUAUUUGGGGAAGAUAACUCCACAUGGAGGAAUACCUACAAUGGGAAUACAUGCUUGGAAUCUCAAUAUUUAUGCCAUGUACGACUUGGACACAUAUCUUGGAAUAUGAUUAAGUGGUUCAUUAUUUUGGAAUUCUAAAUAUUAGUGGGAGGACUAUCGUACUCGUGAAGCAUAUAUAAUGGUUAUUUCUGGUUUACACACCUUUUCUUAAGGUGGAAGGAGAUAAAAAGUUUCACAUCAUUUUUUUCUCUCUUCUGAUAUACUUAUGGUAUUUUUGGACACUCCCACUAGAGGUCAGAUUAUUUAUUUCAUCUCACUCUUCGAUGAUUACACUUUUAUAUGGUUAUGUUUAUCUUUUAUUAUUCAAGUCAGAAAGUUUUAUUAUGCUGGUCACAUGUUAUACUGAAGUGGAAAAUCAGUUGAUUAAAAAAAUCAUAGUUUUAGCAACUGAUUGGUGGGGGGAGUACACGUCAGGAAUAUAUCUUUUUUAGGUAAAGAGCAUGGAACUAUUCACCAUUGUAAUAUACAGUACACUCCACAAAUGAAUGUCUUUGAUACUCCCUUGUUUCUUUGGAAGGAAGCAUUGCAUACUGUCAUUUGUUGAUAUCAUUAUCCAUCUAGCACAGUCACUUGACUGGAAGGAAAUCUUCUAUUUUGUCAUGAAAUUCUCAGUUAUUACAAAGCGCACACCAGGAAUUUUUUUUCAUGGUUAUUCUAGUGGAUCAAAGGGUGUUUCCUUAGUUAUCUGAAAAAGGAAUACUGGUGGAAAGUAGGAGCACAAUUAUUUUAUGGAUAACGAUGGAAUUAUUGGCAAUCAUACUAGAAUAUAAAUUUGACCCCAAAUGAGACUACAAGUGAAACUCCUGACACUAACAUGGUUAGGAUAAGUGGGAGGAAUUAACUUGGAAUGUCAUAUCUGGAUAAUUGUUAUGUGUUUUUUUGGGGGGAAGUUACUCUAAAUUUUAGAGGAAUAACUGAAGUUUCUUAAGAAGGCUUAAAUUUUCAUCAUCUUCAACUAUGGGUGGAAGAAAUGUGGGAAGGAAUAAACUCAACGAGGAAUUAUAUUGUUUGGGAACUUAUUAUCAUACCAAACAACCACAAGCCCAUUGUUUGUAAGUGUUUUUAUUUAUUAGUAAGGAAUUUUGUCUCCUUAGAAUAUUAUAAUGUCACUCUUGACAUUCGGUUCUUUGCACAAAGGGAAAUAUACGUUGUAAAAAACUCUCUCUUGGAAUUUUGGGAAAGAGGAACUAAUGACAUGGUUUGCUAACUGAAUACGUUAUGUAUAGUCUUAUAACAAGCUUCGCAUCAAUGGAAUAACAUGUCAUGUCAUUUUCUAAAUGAAGAAAGGAGUUCAUCUACAAAUGUAAGUGUAAAAUAUUUUUGCAUUAUCAUUGUAUACAUUAACAUUGUUUUGUUGUUUGCAAUGAUAAAAUCACGUUGAUGGAAGUGAAAGCUUGGUCAUGUUUUAACUUUCAUAUGAAAGGAAUGUUUGAAGCUUCCUAUGUCUUGGGAGUGGAAAUACAUAGGGAAUGUUUUGAAACAUUUUUUCUAUGGAAAAUUGCAAACCUAUUAAAGCACCUCUGGUGAAGGGAACGACACUCAAUGAGGAAUUAUUGUUUAACUCAUGAGGAAAAGGAAGGAAUAAAUGGUACUGUAUUUUUAAAAUGUAUUUUUCAUUAUACAAAAUACCUUAGCUAUCGCAAUUAUUUGCUGCAUUUAAGCAGUGGAAGGAUAAAAGGGUGGUUAAGGGAAUCCCACACAUCAUGAUCAUGGAAAGUGCAUCACAAUGUGACAUUUAUUCUAGGAAUCGUAUUAAAAGUAAACACAUUGCGGAAGCUAUUACUAUAUUUUACGAGAUAAGAAAUAAAUCCAGGUAUGCAUAUUCAAUUUUUGUAUUUUGUACUAAUAUGGUGCAGGUUCACUGACCGAAGUUAGGAAUUUCUUUCCAAACAUGGUUACUGAUGGAACUUCAUCAUCUGAUUGGAUUUGAUAUUUAUUUGGUUUUUGGAAACUUUAUUCAAGAUGGUUAUCUUCUAUUUGACUAAAUGUGGAAUUACUCAUGUUAUUGAUAUAUGUGACUGAAAAUAAUUGAUGCGGAAUUUCACUUGAGGAAACAAAAUACUCAAGGUGCCUAUAAAGGUGCACUCGAGGAAAAAAUACUCGAGGCACCAAGGACAGGUGUGCUGGAAUAGUUAGGCGGAAACUAAAGGUCUCUAAUGAUCUUAAGUGUCACAACAAGGAAACAUAUUGAGGGAAAGUAUCACAUUUUAGUGUGGGUUUUUCAACAUAGUGCUAAUAUGAUUGCUGAUCCCUUGACUAAGCCUCUUAGUCAGGAGGUAUUUGAUAAGCAUGUUAAGGCUAUGGGUUUACGAAUAUUUGAAUGAUCGUUUUGGACAAGUGGGAGAUGUUGGAAUUAUGUGUCCUGCAACUAUAUUCAAAUUACUAGGAGUUAAUAAUAUUCGGAAUACCUCAUUAUGGAAUUAUACAUGUAUUUAUGCAUGGAAUUACUUUACAUGAUUAUCAUGGAAUUAUCACUUGUUGGAACGUACUUAAGUUAUAUGCUUAAGGAAGCUGGUCGAUUAUCAGUGGAAUACAAUAUACUAUUUAUAUUGCAAAGACUACCCGGGUACAGUGAUAAUCGGAAGGAGCUAGAUCGUAUAGUUAGAUUACAGCCCUAAUGUUGAUCUACAUGAUUAGAGGAAUUUACACUCUAUUAUGACGCGUUGCUCACAAGCGCGUGCUCCAGGGACAUAACGGGUAGAAUCCGUUAACAGACAAAUAUGAUCGUGGUUGAUAAUUUGAUCUGGACUCUAUCCCGAAAACUAGUGAAAAAAACUAGGAAUCUUAUAUUUGUAUAAGAGGUGGACUCUUUGGAAAGACAAUAUAAGAAGGUCCCUACCCCCUAGCCUCAGACAUGCGAAUUGAACGCCGUUUCGAAUUUAGCUCAAAACAUUAUUAUUUUUAGCAAGUACGCGAGGAUAGGAAUUGUAUUUAUAAUUUUUUGCCACAUUCCGAAGAACGUAUGACUUAGGCUUAGGGGAGACUUAAAUCACCAAUACUCAAAUGCCGCAAUAAUGAGUUUUCCAAAGAGAUGAUCAUUACAAAUUUCUAAGCAAGACUUCCUCAACAUGAUAAAGAAGCGCUUGAUAGUUCUUUUGGUUGUUUAAGUUAUGUAUAAAAGCAUGUGGACAAAAUUACUAGGACAUACAUUUUCAGUUUUUUCAUCAUUGAUGAUAUGAAUAAAACAUUCAUAGUCAGGCCUUAAGGUUCUCAAUCUAGUGUUAAUGCACGAAAUUCUAUUCUAAUAUGCAUGGUAAAAUAAUGUACAAAUUUAUACCGCAAUAACGAUUCAUCCACAAGAUGCUUAGCAAACUCCAAAUUUGAACACUAAUAGAAAGGGAUAGAGCUCUCAAAUUUGAACAAUAAUAGAAAGGAAUAGAGCUCAGCAUCGUGGCCCCACCGCGGCUGAAGAAUGAGGAAGCACAUGUCGGGUCUAUGACCGCGCACACAUGCAUGGUAGACCCGGCGUCUGACGGCUGGGCGGAAUGCAACUUUUGGAUCAGACAGAGUCCACACGUUGCCACAGCCGAUGGGACAAAACGACGGUGUUCAUGAAGGAGUAAAGGUGCGGUGGCACUAGAUUGUCGAUCCACUUCUUUGCGACGCACGAUGUCGGCCGUGGCAUCAGAUUCUCUCCGAGCGACGGCGCCGGAACAGAGGGGAGUUACAAGAGGAAGGAAUGCGGGUGGAUAGAAACUGUGAAGGAAGGGGGAGAGGUGCUGCUGGGAACGGUGAAAAGAGAGUGGCACCAGGGACGGUUAGUGAGAGUUUUGAUUGUGGGGCAGCAGUGUAUGACUAAUUUUAAUAGGCCGCGAACAAACCAACACUGACCAGAUGGAAAACUGAAGGGUCUAAUUUGAAUAGGCUACACAUACAAGUCAAAUAUAGAAGACAGUUAGUGAAAACGUUUGGUUCAUUUUGGUCAGCGGAGCACGUUAUCACAGAUCGACCAUUUUUGUACCCAUCUGUGAUAUGCAUUUAGCAGAGCCAAAUAAACAUUUUCACUGAUGCCUCGGGAGUGGCCAGUUAGUGCUAAUGCUCUUUACUGCCGUAUCAUGUGGUCAUGGGAUGGUCAGUGAUGAGAGGUUAGUGCUAUUCGGAUCUGUAGUAGUGUUGAAGCGCUUCGGGCAUAUGGAGGAGAUCGAGUCAACCAAAGAGUGAGGUCUUUUAUAUAGAUGGCCGGACUAAGAGGCGAAGAAGGUCUUUGGCAUGGACAGCUGGAUAGGCAACUUUGGAGAUUGCCUGAAUGUAAAAACUUAUUGAACAUCCGAUGCUUUUUUAUUGUGAUUGCAUAUGCUUACAACUAUUAAAAGUAUGUUUAAAUUGUUAUUGAUCUUGGUAUGCAUGUCAAAUGGAGGAGGCCGGAGCAGGGGCGGACAUUUGAUGCCUGCGGUUGGACGACCUUCGCUGCCCUAAAACUGUUCAUGAACACAUCCAGAUUUCCAGACAUGCAUGUUUGUAGACAUCUCUCUGCAUUCUGCAAGCGAACAUCCCUUAGUCGACGGAGGAGGAGCUGCUGGAGUUCUACCUCAAGCAGCAGAUCAGUAGCAACAAUAAGAAUCAGCAGCUUAAGGCGUGACGAGCGCUGGAUUUCACUCUGCAUGCAACACAAAGGAGUUAGCAUGAGCACCGCUGAAGCUCUGCUUCUGAUCGGUGGAUCUUCAAGGCAUGUACAUGGUCGGCUUUCGUGCCAUUGGAGAUGGCGUGCUUGGCGAACUCAAUGGCUCUUGAUGAACAGUAAAAGAAAAAUCUGCAAUGCUUUGUGGCAAACUUUGACAAACGCUUUGUGUGUUUGCCAAAAUUUGUCAGAAAAUGACAAUUGGAAAAAACUCAGAUGCUCCAGAAAUGCUAUUUUAGAAAGCAUUUAGGAGUGCUCAUAUUGCUUUUUUUUGCCAUGAACUCCACGAAUAUCAUUUCUGCUAAAAUCUGUCAAGCACACAACAUUUAUCAAAGUUUGCCAAGAUAAAUUCAGAAAUUAUGAUUUCUUUUGGAUUUACUGUUCAUCCUGAGCAGAAAAGGACUUCGAUGCUGAUGAAACCUUUUUGGACCCAUGUUGAGCACAGCAGAAUGGAGCUACCUUCUGCUGCUACUCAACUUGCCCUCCAAAGAAUCUGAUUGCCAAGAGAUGCAGGUCACCAACCUAGUCGUUGGGGCCAGACUUGUACCGAUGUUUCUUAGGACAACUGUUCAUCACUGUGCCUUAAAAUGAUAACCGUAGCUGCAAACAAACUUACAGUGCCGAAAAAUACGACAAUCUCCCCAACCCGUCUCUUAACGGCCCUGCUUUAGCCUUAGUACAGGUCCAUCACAUCAAGAUGGUACGUUCUUAAGCUAGUAGAAUUUCAGGGUUCAGAUUAGGGGUUACAAACACUUCAUACUUGCUAGACAUGAUCAGCUUGUGCUUCAACUGGAUCAGCAGCUUGAGGACAAGAUAGGCGCACAUGCAUCGAGAUGCACUUCAUCAGGUUAGAAUUGUUUUCGCUGCCGCUGAUAUAUAAUUUCUUCUUCCACAUCUAUUCCUUCCUCAAGCUCGUGCCAUUUGGGAUAGCACCAAAAUGGCUUAGGCACGGGCCAUCUGUCCAGAGUAACACAUAAAUAAGCUGCUAAAAUAAUAUACAUCUCUAGCAAGCAGUGUUAAUGAACGCGUAGUAAAUAAACAAUACCUGUUUGGGCUAUCAUCAUCGUCUCUAGCAACAGUCCUGCAAACAGGCCAAAAAUAGUUUUACGUACAAGAACAAACACACGCGUGUGAGGACAAGAUCAAAACCACGUAACAUCAGUUCACUACUUCAUAUGUCUGAACAAUAAGAGGCGAAAUGGCUCAACCGCAAAAGCAAGUUGGGAUUUAAGAACUAGCAUGAGUUCCAAAUUAAAAGUAACCUGAAAAAUAACAACCAAAACCAACCCAUAUUUACCAUUAUAGUUCCAGGUUAGAGUGAUGCAAUGAGAGAUACGAUACAAUACUUCCAUAAUCACAAAUGUACGUACAAUCAGGCAUGCUCAGCUGUCGGCCACAACCACAGGACGGUCUUUAUCGCACCAGUGUCAUAUGUUAUUUCUCAUAUGCACAACAGUUCUAUUCAAGCUUCUAAUUAAUGUGCUCAGUACAAGAAGAUCAAAAUGGCGACAAAUGUCCUGUCGAGGCUACUAAACUUCCUCAAGAUUGCAUAUUAUUAUGCACACGCAAGACACCUGCAUACUGUACAAAAAAUUACAUAAAUAUAGAGAGCAUACCCUUGUACAUCAAAAUUCUUCAAGACUUUUUGAAUUAUAUUCACUGGUAUGUAUGGAGCCUCUUCCAAGCCAUAGAAGUUCAUGCCAAUAAAAUUUCCAUCAAAAUCAAUAAGAGGCCCUCCAAUCCCAGCCUAGCACACAAAAGUAAUGAAUAGGAAAAGACAGUAUUUGUAAGCCAUACAGAUGUGAUGAUGGAUUUAAUUACUCAUUCUGACGCAACUAUUUAUUUCCACCACACGAAAAGACACAGCGUACCUUGGUGAUUUUACAGGUGGAAAUCUUAAGCUCUUUGCAACCAAGCUUACUUGGUUUGUCAAUCACGAUCCCACUUGUGGCCAUUAAUUUGUCUGAUUGGUAGAUGCGCCCUAUAGCUACUACCUCCUUCUGAGGUUUAAUUAGCAUCUGGUUAUCGAUUUGUGCUGUCUGAGUACAGCAGAAAUUCUUGAUGUGGACUACGGCAAUGUUAUAGUGUAGACUGUAAUGUUGCAAUGUCCCUCUGGUAUGACGAUUAUCUGGAAGGCACACUACAAUCUGCAAUUAAUGAUAUGGUAAGACUAAACCAGUGAUAUCAUGAAUAAGUAGAAGGGGCAAUUAAACAAUUGUUAGCAGAGUAACAACCUUAAGGUUAUCAGCAACCUUGUUUUCAUCGUCAAAAGUUCUAACCAAACUUGCCGAGGUCAGAACUCUUGUGGUGGACCCAUUGCAGUCUAUGAAUACGCCCGUGCAAGCAAAACACCUUGUUUUUCCUACAAGAGUAAUGACUUUGAUAAUUUAGUGAAGAAAUUGGAAAAAGAAUAUUGAAAGUAAACGAGCUUAUAAUGAAUAUAAUUACCACUGAACGAAGCCAAUGCAACAACACUUUGAGACAUAUUUGAAGCAACGUUUCUUUCGAGUUUACUCCAGAUAUCUUCACUAAAUUUCUCUUCAAAAUUGUUAAGCAAACGCAUGCCCACUGGCAAAAGCAAUAAAGAUUCAGUAGUGGAGGGGAGCUGGAGAGACCAGUCAGAUGACAGACAUUCCAACAGAAAAGAGUAAAUAUCAAAAGGACACGAAUGAACUCACCAUUCUGCCAAACUGGGAGGGGAUAACCAUUGGAACUCAGCUCCUUUUUUGUAGCAACGCCUAAAUUUUGCAAGAUAGUUAAGUGAUUGAUGACCCCAUGUAUAAUGAUGGUCAGGAAAACUGCAAGCAAUGACUCACCAAAAUAAGGAUAACCCGGCCGCCCAGAACAUAAAGACUUCCGCUCUAAUAAUAAUCUAUCCAUGAGUCCUGGUGCCACAGGGGUGAAACAAUUAAUGACUGUGAACAAUGAUCAAUAAUCAACAUUAAAAGUGAUCCAACCUGGUUGACAUUCUGGAUCACAGAGAGUACAUAUGGAAGGUUUCUGAUCCUUAAGUUUCUCUCCCUUCCUUGAGCUGUCUAAAAUGGAGAAGAUUGGAGAAGGGAAAUAAGCAGAAUUUAGAACACUGAAAAGCAGUAUGAAGGAGUAUAUUCUCAUAUUCAUAUACUACACUGAAGUACUUAGAAUGAACUAAUUAAUUGGCAUAUCAAAUAUGUUAGCAUGAUAAUAGGUGCAACCAUAAAACUAAGUAUGUGGUUCUAAAAAAAACACACUAAGUAUGUACCCAGAUUCUACAAAUGAUUGUUGAAAAUUAACAUUGGUGGUGACUUUGGCGAGGAAUUGCCUGGUACUGUGAUGAUUGUGCACAGAUUAGCAAUCUUAAGGUGCUUUUCUCACCUUCUGAAUCAGGCUUAUAAGGUCUGGGAAAUCUUUCAAGUUUACUACCAGGUCCUUUCUUAUUUAUAGCACUGCAGCAGAAUGCGAUAAGCUGAUCGGAGUAAUAGAGAAAUCCACAAAAGUAAAAUAUGGAUGAUAUGUAUGCAUGGAUACCAAACAAUAAUACAAAUUUCAAUGUUUAAAAGGGGCAAAUCAGGAAAAUUGUUGAUUGGGGUCAGAUUGCACUAAACAACAAUACAAUGGGGAAAACCCUAAAACCUAAAUAUUUAUUGUGUUAGAUUAUUGUAUAGACGAAAAUAUUUAUUAAAUAUAAAUAGCAUAAGAUGGUGGAAAGCUUUUCCCAUGCGUGUUGUGUUGAGUGACAACAAAAAACAAUAAAAUGGAGAUAAUAUUAUACCAAACCUACCAGGGAACCUUCACUACCUUAUCAUUUAAACAAGUAUUAAUAGCUUAAACAUGGACACCCGAGUCCCAAUUGUGUACAGGGCAACUGCAAGACAUCAUGACAAGACAGGUGGUAUGGAUUGUCAAGGUCACACCUACGUUGCACGGAUACUUGGAUACGUAUCGGAUACGCGAUACGGGGAUACGCCCGAUACGCUAAUUUUCUGAAAACAUGGAUACGGCGAUACGUUUAUAUGUAGAUAUUACAUAUAUUAAUUAUUAAAAAUAUUGAAAACAAAAUAGAGCUUCUAGGUCAAAGCAUGCCUCAAUAGGAUUAUUCCUUUUGUUUUCUUGCACUUGGUCCACUUUCAUUAAUUAGCAGUGGGAUUUUCCCGGGUUUGUUGUUCCAAGUAGUGCAUCGAUUCUCUCUUGCUCACCUUUCAAUUGAACAAGAACAUUGACAGUCAUAUUUUGGCAUGAACUCACACCCAUGUUGGAUAUCUUCAAAAGGUGUGCCUUUACUAUUGAGGGGAUUUCACGUCAAACCAGGGGUUUUGGGUAUCCAAACAGUAUCGUAGAAGUAUCCUAGGAGUAUCAAAUAUUAUUUUCUUUUUUUUAAAUCGAAAAACCAAGGGAUACUUACGGGAUACGUAUCGGGUUGUAUCAGGGCAGUAUCCGAGUAUCGGGGCAGUAUCCAGCUGGAUACGCGCGCUUUCUGAAGUAUCCGCGCAACGUAGGGUCACACUGCAGCUUAUCCAGCCCCAGAUGUCACAAACAACUAAUUUGUUAUCAAGGGAGAUGUUGUCAAAUGCAGAUCAUCUACCAGAUGCAAGUAUUACAAAAAAAUCAAAACAACGCAUUUCAGAAACUGUUUGACAUUCAGCAUGAUUGGUGGUACCAUCAAACCUCGGCUAUUGAUGAGCGGAAUUAUUCUUAUGUACUUAGUUCAUUCAUUUUGUAUGUCUACUGAUGUGUGGUCAGCCUACUGGAAAUUCCAGGUUGAAUAACAAAUUCGCAUGAAGCAGAACAGAUGGCCUAUAGUCAUCCAGGAAAUGUUUUAGUUAGACUAGUUGUAUGCCGUUAUCGAGAACAGAAUGUGCUCAAUCAAGUUUAUUUGCAAAUCAGGCCAGGCGUUAAGUGCAUGGCACUAGUUUCUGUGCUAAAUAGUACUCAUUCGCUCAAUAUUACAGUAAUCGAGCAUGUUAGACUCCUCACUACAUACCAACUUGUGAUCAUGCUUUAACUGUUCUUAGCCUUGUACAACACAUGCAGUAAUUCAAACAAUCUGAUUUCAUAUUCUAUACAAAAAUCCUGCACAUUCUUUUAGAAUGCAUGAAUUGUUAACACAAUUUUUGUUAACAAAUUUUCCAACAACGCAAGAGAUUUAUGUAAUGUGUUGUUAGCUGCAGUAUGAUGUCAUAAGAAGCCACUAUUGUAUUAAGUGUACUCUUGAUUAAGCUUUCCACCAUUAUUUAUCUUCCUAAGCAUGUGUGACCCAUGUGCAAAAAAGCUAAUAAGACAGUAUGGAGGACAAGAGUAGAAAAGCAAUCAGAGUAAGUAUGGAGGACAUACAACCACUGAAUUGUUUUCCUGAACUGCGACAGGAGUUCAAGAAUUUUAAUCCUUGGUAGGAAUGGAGUUUCUUUCUCAGCAUAAAAGUUCAUCCCAAUGAAGUCCCCAUUAAAAUCAACAAGGGGCCCUCCAACUCCAGUCUAGGAAAAGAAUAAAGUGACAGUGAGCCAAGCACAAAGAUGAAGGGAUGCUGAGACAGUUUUUUUUGCUAUGUAUAGAAAGUGAGAAAUUAACACCGCACCAUAGUAAUUUCACAUGUGGAGAUGGCAAGCUCCUCCCGGUAAGCUCCUUUUGGAUUGUCAGUCAACAUCCCAGCUGUGGCCAUUAAUUUUCCUGAGUUGAAGCAACGCCCUACGGCAACUACUUUACUGUGAGACUCAAAUUGCCGCUGAUGAUCUAGACAUGUUACUUGAAGAGAAUGGCAGCAAGCGAUAUUGAUAACCGCAACAUUGUAUUUCAAAUCGUAGAAUUCCAACCAUCCCAGUUCAAGUGUGUUAUCCAGAAGGCGCACUUCAAUCUGCAUCAAUAAAGCAAGGCAACAAGUAUAUAGCCUGGUUAGCAGAAUUAUUUUAACAUGAUAUUAAAUAAGCAAGCAAUAGUGUACAAAAAGAAAGUUGGGAGUACCAACCGUCAUAUCGUGAAGGAUCUUGGUGUCAUCAUCAACAGAUCUAACCAAACUUAAUGAAGUCAGACAACUUGUAAAAGUAGGCUUGUUUACGAUAAUUAUGCCCGUGCAUGCAAAAAACACGGUCUUUUCUGCACAAUAUGGUAUUUCCAAAUUCUCAAUCAUGAAGUACUAACAAAUAGACAUAGAUAAAAUUUUGCAAAGCUAGUGUCUAUAAUCACCAUCAGCAAAUGAAGCAAGCGAUACAACAGUGCCCGCUAAGUUUGAGGCGAUUUCUUCACUGAGUUCCAUCCAGACACCUUGACCAGAAUCACUUGAGCUGCCAAAUUCCUCUUCGAAAGGAUUGUCCGGACGCGAAUUUCCUAGUUAGGGAAGCAUCAUCAUGUUCAUAUCAUACAACACAAUUCUGAUCGUAAGUUGCAGAAGAAGGAACAAGCAGCGAGACUGAAACCAGACAGCCAGUGGCUCACCUCGCCAAGCUGUCCAUACUUUUUGUAUCUUGGUCUGGCUUCUCGUGCAAACGCCUUCUCGCUUCAUAUUGUCAGCCUGGAGUGGAAAUAGGCUCUAGCAAACGCGGAUCUAGAAUAUGAUAAACUGCGAACGCCAUUGGGGUUCAGCAAAUCGUUCAGCCGCAAGGGAGGAAAUCAAACCAUCACGACAAAAGAGGGGAGGGUGGGGGUUCAGCUAAUCACUGGAUGAAAAAAGCUCGUACCGCAAAGAUCAAAAGCCCCAGAAAUCGCAGCCGGGUGGAGACAGCAGGGAGGAACGGCGAUGGCGAUGGCGAUGGCGGCGCGCGUGGGGGUGGGGAGUGGAGGAUCAACCCUAGGGCAGGGCAGGCGGCGGUGGGUCGGGUCGGGUUGGUAUGUCACGGCUCGGGAGAAGGGCAGGAAAAGAUGGAACGGGACGGGACGGGACGGGGACGCCGAUCAAUUUUCACCGUGGAUGCAAACUUGCACAAACUGUUUGGGCAAAGGCCGGCCUUCUGGAGUUAGCAGUUUCAUGUGAGUCUACAGCAGAUUUCUUGGGCUCUGACAUACCACAAGAGGCACAUGGCAAUCUCUGGAAUGUUUUCUUUGCAGCUGCUGCUGUUGCGCUCUGGCAUGCUCGGAACGAGCAAGUUUUCCACAACAAGUGUUGGACAUCUGCAAGGGUCCUUCUUGAAGUGGCCGACCUGAUCAAGUUAUGGACUCUGCGAGCACCGGCGGGAAAUGUCAGGGAACGUUUAUAUUCUUGGGCUGAUGUAAUGGUGCGAGAAUAGCUGCAAAGCUUUUUCUGUUUCCUUUUCUCCCCUUCCUUCCUACCCUCCCUUGUUUUUCUUCUCAGGCUUGGCGUUGGCCUGCUGCACGUUCUGUGCGGCGCUCAUAACGCCUUCAUGUAAAACGACUUUGGUCGCUCAGGCUACGGCCUGUUUUGAAUGCAUAAGCUAGAACAUGAUCUACCUUUUCUUUCAAAAAAAAAAUUCACCGUGGAGGGGGAGAGCCGGAUUACCUUUGUUAGAUUUACAGAUUUUUGUACACUACUAUACGAUUCGUGUGGCCACGGAGAGCAAAAGGAAAAGCUUCUUCUCUUUUCUUUCGAACACGGUACAUACGCAAACAAAUCUUCAACAUUACCUUCAAAUCAAACCCUAUUUUCGUCCGCGGACUGGUGAGGAGCGGUGCCCAGACAUUGAUGCAAGAGCCAGCCAUCCAACCUUGCCCACAUAAAUUUCAAACAAACUUGAAUAAAUUUGACACAUUUUAUCAAACACGACAGAUUUCCGCAUAUUUCAGAUAUAAUAAUUUACAUAAAACAGACGAUAUUUAGACUGUUCAACUAUUAAAAGAAACCUAGGAGGCUAACUUCAGGCGGAGACGAUCUCCUACAUGUGGCCGGCAGCACCCUUGUCACUGUCUACGUUGUCAUUGUCGUCCUUCCAUCGAUGGAAGGGCGCAGGGGCGCAACAGCCUUGCCCGACCCCCGCCUGGCACUCAUGGAGGAGCCGUUUUGCUUCCUCUUGCGCUGUGCGGAGGGCCGCUAUGGCCAAUGCCGACCCAGACCUUGGUCCCUUGGCGGCGGCAUUGGCCCUGCCAGCAAUGGUGGAGGUGCCGCUUAGUGACCAUUCCUCAUCAAUCUUGGCGAGCUCCCCGUGGAGAAGGUGGCACCGCCGCUUGGGCGUCUUCGUGGUGGUGAGAUACUGGUCAAGAGCUCAGGCCGCCAGCAGGUCGGGGUCGUUGCGGACUCAGCCUGGCGCCUCGUCCGACUUGGCAAACACAGAGUGGCGUGUCGCGUUGCGCUGCUCCUGCUCGCCGCCCUGUCCUCGAUGGACACAAUGGACCACAAUUAAGAGUUGCCGCCACCGUGGUAGUGGAGGAUGCGCCCGCCUGCCUUCGCGAUCACGGGUGGCAGCUCCUCCUUGAUGACAUGGCCACGCCAAUUGCGAUGCGGCGGCGGCGAUGACUCCUGCUUGACGCGGCGGAGAGACGAUGUUGGCUCCUGCUUGACACAGUAGUGUAGCGGGCAGUGCAGCUCCUCCUUGAUGACAAGCGGCAGCAAGGGCGUCACUGAACCACAUUCAGGAGGGACCGCUCCGUUAGCAGCCCGAUCUGAUGCACUAACUCCUCGUCCGUCGCCGUGGCCUCUGAGAGGAUGCAUGGUUGAUGAUGGAGCAGCUGCUGCGAUGACACCUCGUCGUCGCUAGAGGAGAUGACGAUCUCCUCCUUGCUAGAGCAGCCGACGGCCGUGGAUCCCAAGGGCCCCAGCGAUGAUGGUCUCGCCAAGAUCCGGAGCCGCCAGCGCCGCCUGUUGCCGCAAAGAACCAAGACUUGGGCAUGGUGUGGAUGCAGAGAGGAGGAGGGGGUCAGAGAAGAGGUUGAGUGCGGAGGUGUGGAUGUGGACGUCGCUGGAGCAUGGAAUAUAUAGCCGCAGCCAGGCCAUGAGAACAAACCGUUGGAAAUAUGCCCUGGAGACAAUAAUAUUAUAUUAUUAUAUUUCCAUGUUCAUGAUUAAGAGUUUGUAUUUCAUGCUAUAACUGAUAUGAUCCUGGAAUAUGCGAUACAUCGCAAAAUUCAUAUGCACGUGUGAAAUGAUAAACGACAAAGUAAGAUUCCUAGUCUCACCUCUGAGACUUACUCAAGUGUUGUUGGUCAUCAUGUUCUCUAGAUCUUAGGAUAUCGUUAAGUGUCACAAUAGUCCUAAAACAAUUAUGAGAGUAUGAUGUUAGAAGAACGAUCAUAUUGAAUCGACCCCAACUUGUUUGUUAUACUUUGAGAUAAUAUCUUCUGAAAUCAAAUUGUUAUAACACGGAGUGUUAACGUGUGUUUUAGUUCCUUAGACCACGAGAAUAUCGUAGUCACUUCUUACUGUACGGUGGACUUUGGGUUGCUUAAAUGUCAUCUGUAACACAGUGAUCAUAACGACAACUUACAGGUUCAUCGAAAAGUUUGACAAGGGACUAGAUAGCUCGAGAGUGGGAUUUGCUCCUCCGACGAUGGAGAGAUAUUUUUAGGACCCUUUCGGUGUGUCGACAUCCAUCAUCGUUUGGCCAGACAUAGAUGACUGCGUCACGGGGAUGCUGGAAAACGUCAACAAGAAAGAAAACGAAAUCAGUAGCAAGGAGAUCGGUAUAGUGAGCUAUGAUGACUCAAGGAUAUUGAUGCAUCUCAAGUUUUGUAAAGUAUCAUGAAACAAAGGAAAUAUCAAAUGAUAACCAAAUGUUCACUCGAAUGUCAUUCAUGUAAUCAUAGAGAUCGAUAUGGAUGUCCACGGUUCCGCUAUCGGUCUUUAAAGGAAGGGGUUUUAUUCAUGUCUAUAUUUUACCGAACCUACGAGGUCACAAGCUUAAGGUAAUCAGAAUCUGUUGGGUGUUAGUAGGACAAGAGUAUCAAUGAUUUAUUUGUGGAAUUGUUUCAUUAGUAUUCGAAAUAGUGCCGUGUGUGAGACGACAUACACAGGCGCGACACAAUGCCCCAUAAAGUCUUAGCCCCAUCUUAAAUCGAUCAAAGUUAAUCAGUCCGUGUGCGGAAAAUCCAGCCUUCGUGGAUGAGCAACGGGCACUGUACGAGUCCAUGCGCUGCACCCGCGCCAUCCGCGGUGGUUGCACAUCAUGAGGCAUAGGCGAUGGAAGUGAUCACGGACGGGAAUGUUACGGAUGUUGGCAGCUGCGCAUCGUUUGCACCGCCCACGCUGUCCGCGUCGGGCCUGACGACCACCAGGUCAGCCCAUCCACGUUUAUCAUGGACUUCACCUUGGCCGGCAACAUCCACGACUAGGUGGUAGACUCCGACGAGGAAUAGUAGGACAUGGAAGACUGACGUGUCCAUGUCCGAUGAAGAGCAGUACGUGGAACACAACAUGAACAUGUCCAUAGCCGGCGAGGAUUUAGAUUUGGUCAGGUUUAAAUGAAAACUGUCCCGUUUGUAUGAAAUUUGUCUUUUUCGUUCAGCACUGUAUGAAAUACGGACGAAUAUUUACCGAAAAAGGGUCCCCUGCUUUGUAUCCAAAGCAAAGAACACCAAAUACAUAGACAAUGUUGGGGCGAGCAGCACAACAAGCCCAAAGGGAAAAGGAAGAGGAAACAAAUGCCAACAACGGCAAUGACCCCGAGUGGUUAUACGUGGCAAUGACGACGUUUUUUUACGUCGUUACCUUGUUGAAGGCAUUGCUUGGAUAGACUCACUGAUUCUUCAGGGUGAAAACCUAGAUGUUGGCCUUUUGGUUGGGUCCGGUGACGACGGCGCCCAAGUGUCGCUCCCUUCCUGAAGGCGUUGCUGUUGAAGAACCUCGUUGUCCAUAUGGUGUUAGGAGAUGGUUGGUGCAGAUAUGGUCAUAGUUGUAGUUUGCCGAUCACAAGUCUGAUCGCUUCGGGGUUUUUUCGUCGCCUUCACAUAGCUUUGGUCUUGUAUGACUUUGCUUGUUGUUGGUGUUGUGUGUGUGUGUGUAUGUGUGUGAGUUGGUGUAGGUUGUGUGCAUCCUAGCUAUGCAGAGGCCGGGUGCGUGCUCAUUGUGUUAUGUAUCUUCUUGAUGCUCCAUUUUGAGCGAAUAAAAUACACCCUUUAUAAAAAAAACAACGGCAGCUCGACAAAGCGAGGUUGACCCACCACUGCAGCGCCCUCGGGAAUUGACUCAAGAUGGCAAUGGGGCCCCGAAACCCGUGUCCCCGUGGGGUUUUACCCUAUUAAGGGACGGUGAUGGGCGUCUUUUUAACCCCACGGGGCUGCUGUUGGGUAAAGUAUAAAACCCGACACGUUUCACGGGUUCAACCCCGUCUCAACAAUACCCGAACCAGAAAUCCGCCAUCCCCGUCAAAAUAUACAAUAAGCAUAUUCGAGGAGUACAAUCUUGAGAGUGAUGAUGAUCAUGCACAGUCAUCUUGCUCAUUCUCUUCUUUGGAAGCUCCAGACCUUAUGUCAAUCUUCAGUGAACGUGUUACUCAGAAAUGGCCAACAUCUUUUAGGAUGAAAUCUGAGCUAGACCGUUACUUAGAAGAUGAGCUAAUUUCAUUGUCCAAAAAUAAAUUCAGUGUGUUAGAUUGGUGGAAAGUUGGUGGAACACACUAUCGAAACUUUGAGGAUGCUAGCAUGUGAUAUUUUUGCAACUCCGGGUAGCAUGAUUGCCGGUAGCAUGAUUGCCUUAGAAUCAGCAUUCAACACAAGUGGUAGAGUUCUAGUUCUAAGAGGUAGGGCUCUAGUCCUUAUGUUUGCUUGAAUAUGCCAAUUUCCUCGUGGGUUUAGAAAAUUCGAUGGGUUUAGGGGACGGGCAAAAAGCGAGCCUCGCGGACGGUGAAGGGGGCGGGGACGGGCUUGCGAUUUUCUCGUGGGGAUGGGUUUCGUCCCCCUUGCCAUCUUGAGAAACGACCCAGCACGAUACAAGGCUCCGAUCCGCCGCGAACCAAGCAGCACCUCCAAGAAGGAAUGCGACACCGAUGACGCUGCUACCAACGAGUCCUAGGGUUUCCCCCGACGCACGGAGGGGGAUAGGGGAUGGAUACCACCGACACCCUUCAGGAAGGACUGGCGGCACCCUCAAGCGUCGCCGCAUCGGAGCCAGAAGACCUGGCAAGUAUUUCUCCCGUACUCCAUACCACACCGCCCAACCGGACCGGAGCCAACCAGCCAACUCGCCGCCCACCAACAUGUGCCAUCGCGCUCGCGACGCCACCCACGCCGCCUCACUGAGAUCAUCACCACGAGGCCAAGAGGACUAGGAGAGAAGCGCCGGACGACGUGAGUAGCAGCACCGUAGCCGGGCGGAAGGGAACCACUUCCACCGCCGUCGUGCGGGAGGCCCGAGCCUCCGGCAACGUCGCAGUCGCCGUCCCAACGCGGCAGCAGGGCAUACCAUGCCACCCCUGGCCAGGCCAGGCCCGAAUCGGGCCCGCAAAGCCCCGCCGGCCACGCUGCAGCAGGGCGGGAGCAGCGCCGCCAGCACCCCACCGACCAACGUCGCUCCCCCACCUCCUGGAAGUAGCGUAGACCUACCCCGCCGUCAGCCCGCCCAGACCCAGAUGGGGCCGAAAGGGCCCAGAUCUACGCCUAGCGGGCGCCGCCAAGCCACACCACUGCGCCACCCCGCCACCAACGGCACCACCUCCGUCCAGCCGAUCUCCCGCGUCGCGCCAAGAAGCCCCGCCGCCGAGGAACACCCCCCGGAGUCGCUCCGUCCCGCGCCGAAGAGCACCCGAGAGGAGAAAGGCCGGGGGCCGCCGCCGCCAGCGUCGCCCCAGCCAGGCCCACCGGCGGGAAGGAAGGGGUGAGGGGAAGUUGUCAACUCCAUACGGACGAAUAUCUCACACAUGUGGUUGGAUAUCCGCGGACGCCUGCGGAGACGAAUACUGCGUACGAUUUGUGGCACCGCUCUUAUCAACAUCGUCCGGGCACCAUCCAUCGAGUCGAGGAAAGAAAAUGGUCGUCGUCUCCAACCGUCCCGUCCCGUUCUUCUUUCCUCCUCUUCCUCUCCCGAUCGGCCGAGCCCUCACUUCGUCACACACCAACCCGACCCACCACCGCGUGCCCUAGGGCUGACGCCUCCGCUCCCCACCCCCACGCGCCGCCAUCGCCGUUCCUCAUCGGCCGCGAUUUCUGGGCAUAUUUUGCGGUACGAUCUUCUUUCACCCAGUGAUUAGCUGAACCCCCUCCCCUCCCAUCUUUUUCGCGGAUGAUCGAUUGCGUUGCGGUGAAAUGAUUUGCCUUCACAAAUUCUCUCAAGUUUGGCUCGGCCACGCUCCACCUUUUUUAUUUCCAUUAUUACUGCGUCGGUUGAUUUUAACCAAAACUCUGCUUUGAUGCGAUAGAACUCUACUUUGACACCCCCGAAAAAGAAUGGCGAUUCGCUAUCUUAAUCUGUUCUUUCCGCUAUAGGCCGGAGAUAUGAAGCGAGAAGGCGUUCGCACCAGAAGCCAGACCAAAAAACAAAAGGCUUCCACAAGUAGCCAAGGUGAGCCACUGGUUGUUUCAGUCUCCCUACUUGUUCAUUCUUCUGCACAUACGAUUUCUACAGCUCUAUUUAAGAACUGUGUUGUGAUAUGAUGAUGCUUGCCUAACUAGGUAAUUCACUUCCAUUAUCACGCAAGUACGAUUCGUACAGCUCAAUUUCAUAAUUGUGUACUUGUGUUGUAUGAUAUGAUGCUUCUUAACUAGGAAAGUUGCUUCUGGACAAUCCUUUCGAAGAGGAAUUUGGCAGCUUAAGUGAUUCUGGUCAAGGUGUGUGGACCGAACUCAGUAAAGAAGUCGUCUCGAACUUAGCGGGCACUGUUGUACCGAUUGCUUCAUUCGAUGACGGUGAUUAUAAGCAUUAGCUUUGCGUCUUUUUAUCUAUAUACAUUCCUUGAUAGUUCAUGACUAGGAAUUUGGAAAUACGAUCUUGUGCAGGAAAUAAUACAUUUUUUUUUGCAUGCACGGGCAUAAUUACCGUGAACAAUCCAAAAACUACAAGCUUUCUAACUUCAUUAAGUUUGGUUAGAUCAAUCGAUGAUGACAGCAAGAUCUUUCACGAUAUGAGGGUUGGUACUGCCAGUUUGUUUUUGUUUUACACUAUUGCUUGCUUAUUUAACACCAUGGUAACCAUUCUGCUAACCAGGGCGUGUACUUGUUGUCUUGCUUUAUCAUUUCAGAUUGAAGUGCGCCUUCCAGAUAACAAAAUCGAACUUGGAUGGUUGCAAUUCUAUGAUUUGAAACACAAUGUUGCUGUUAUCAACAUCAUUCGCUAUCAUUCUCUUCAAGUUGCAUGUCUAGAUCAUCAGCCGCAAAUUGAAUUUCAGAGUAAAGUAGUUGCUGUAGGGCGUUGCUUCAACUCAGGAAAAUUAAUGGCCACAGCUGGGAUGUUGACUGACCAUCCAAGAGGAGCUUACCGCGAGGAGCUUGCCAUCUCCACAUGUGAAAUUACUAUGGUGCACCGUUGAUUCCUCACUUUCUGUACAUAGCGGAAAUAAAUAAAUGAAAUUGUGUCAUUAUAUGGGUGGUUUAAUUUUGUCAUUAUAUGCACUUGAACAAUUUUUUGAGGGCACCAAAAAUUAGUCCUGGUUUUCAAUUAUACAAACUUUGUUCAGCAUCCCUAAAUUUUUGUGCUUGGCUGAGUGUCACUUUAUUCUUUUCAUAGACUGGAGUUGGAGGGCCCCUUGUUGAUUUUAAUGGGGAUUUCAUUGGGAUGAACUUUUAUGCUGAGAAAGAGACUCCAUUCCUACCAAGGAGCACAAUUCGUGAACUCCUGUUGCAGUUCAGCAAAAUAAUUCCAUGGUGGUAUGUCCUCCAUACUUACUUAUGAACCAAAGAUUCUCUGUCUGGUUUAUAUAUCUCUUCCUCUUUUUUACCCUUGUUUACUCUCUCGUGCUUGAUCUUAUUAGUUUUUGUGCACAUGGGUUACUCAUUCUUAGGAAAAGUAAUAAUGGUGGAAAGCUUAACCAAUAUUGCACUUAAUACAAUAGCGGCUUCUUAUGACGUCAUACUGCAGCUAACAACAGGCAUUAUACAAAUUUCUCAUGUCGUUGAGCCGUUAAUUUGUUUAUUUACAAAGCAUUAUUUAAGGGUUAUUUGCAUUCUCAAAAAAUGUGCAGGCAUUUUGCAUUGACUAUGAAAUCACAUUGUUUAAUUUACAACAUGUGUUGUACAAGGCUAAGAGCAGUUAAAGCAUGAUCACAAAUUGGUAUGUAGUGAGGAGUCUAACAUGCUCAAUCACUAUAAUACUGAGCGAAUGAGAACUAUUAGCAGAGAAAUGCCUGGCCUGAUUUGCCAAUAAACUUCGCUGAGCACAUUCUAUUCUGGAUAAUGAUUAACAACAAACAACUAGUCUCAAAGGACAGUCACAGUGCUAGAAGCUCCCACACCAGGUGGGGUCUGGGGAAGGAUUAUACGAGGCAAGCCUUACCCCUGCACAGUGCAGUGUAGAGAGGUCGUGUCGAACCAGGACCUCACAAGUGGGGGAGUACUCACUAUUGCACCAGGCUGUCCUUCGGCAAACAACUAGUCUAACUGAAACAAUUCCUGGAUGACCGUAGGCCAUCUGUUCCACUUGUUGUGAAUCUAUUGUUCAACCUGGAAUUUCAAGGAAGCUGACCACACAUCAUCAUCAGUAGAGAUACAAAAUGAAUGAAAAGUACCUACAACAAUUCCGUAUAUCAGUAGCCGAGGUUGGAUGGUAACAUAUUUGAAACUGAAACAUGAGUUUACUACCAAUCAUGUUGAAUGUCAAACCAUUUUUGAAAUGCGUUAGCUUGUGCCAGUCAUGAGCAGUUUUGAUGUUUUUGUAGCUUCUAGAGUAUACUUGCAUCUGGUAGCUGGCCUGCAUUUGAGAACAUCCCCCUUGAUAACAAAUUGGUUGUUCGUGACAUCUGUCGCUGGAUAAAUUGUAGCGUGACCUUGACACAUAUCCAUACCACAUGUCUUGUCAGCAUGUCUCGCAGUUGCCCUGUACUCAAUUGGGACUCUGGUGUCCAUGUUAAAGCUAUUGUACUUGUUUAAAUGAUAAGGUAGUCAAAGUUCCUGGUAGGUAUGGUAUAAUAUUUUCUCCAUUUUAUCGUUUCUUCGUCGAAAUAUUUAGGCUUUAGGAUUUUUCCCAUUGUGUUGUUAUUUAGUGCAAUCUGACUCCAAUCCCUAAUUUGCCCCCUUUUGACAUUUGAGUGCAUGUAGUUGUUUGAUAUUCAUGCAUAGAUAUCAUCCAUGUUUUACUUGUGCGGAUUUCUCUAUUACUCCGAUGAGUUUUUAUCGCAUUCUGCUGCAGGGCUACAAGUAAAAAAAGACCUGAUAGUACAAUAAGGAAAUUUCCCAGACCUCACAAGUCUGAUUCACAAGGUGAGAAAAGAACUUCACUCCUUCAGAUUGCUAAAUUGUGCACAGUCAUCACUUCGUCAGGCAAUUCAUCACUGCCAUGCUAUAUGAGAACAGUCUUGCUAAGCCUCAAUCGACUGAGACAUAAUGAAGUCUCAGUCACUACUAUAUUCGUGAGAUCUUACAUUGAGAUUUGUGCAAUAUUUUCUUUUUAGUUUUUUUCCUUUUCUCUUUUGCAUGCUGUGUCACUUUUUUUGAACCGAUGACUGAGACUUGGUUAAAUCUUAGUCGAGUGAAACCUAGCCACACCCAUAUGAGAAUAUACUCCCCUUCAUACCGCUUUUCGGUUUUCUAAACUCAGCUUAUUUCCCUUCCCUAAUCUUCUCCAUUUUAGACAGCUCAAAGGGAGGAGAGAAAACUAAGGAUCGGAAACCUUCCAUAUGUACUCUCUGUGAUCCAGAAUGUCAUCCAGGUUGGGUCACUUUCAGUGUUAAUUAUUGAUCAUUGGUCAGUCAUUAAUUGUUUCACCCCUAUGGUACCAGGACUCGUGGAUAGAUUAUCAAAGUGGGCAUUCUUAUGUACUCGGUGGCCGAGAUAUCUUGAUUCUGGUGAGUCAUUGCUUUCAGUUUUCCUGAUCAUCAUUAUACAUGGGGUCAUCAGUCACUUUACUAUGUUGCAAAAUUCAGCUGAUGCUACAAAAAAGGAGCUGAGGUCCAGUGGUUAUCCAUUCCCGGUUUGGGAUGAUAGUGAGUUCAUUUGUGUCUUUUUUAUAUUUAUUACUCAUUCUGUUGAACACCUGACAUCAGGCUGGUGUCUCGAACACCCCUCACCUACUGAACCUUUAUUGCUGUGGUCAGCGGGCAUGCGGUUGCUUAAUAAUUUUGAAGAGGAAUUUAGUGAAGAUAUCUGGAGCGAACUUGAAAGAAGCGUUAAUUCAAAUAUGUCUCAAAGUGUUGUCACAUUGGCUUCAUUCAUUGGUAAUUUUAUUUUAUUCACUAUAAGCUCGUUUACUUUUGGUAUUCUCUUCCCAAUUUCAUCACUAAAUUAUGUGAAUCAUUACUCUUGUAGGAAGAAAAAGGUGUUUUGCUUGCACAGGCGUAUUCAUAGACUGCAAUGGGUCCACCACAAGGGUUCUAACCUCUGCAAGUUUGGUCAGGACUUCUGACGAUGAAAACACUGUUGCUGAUAACUUGAAGGUUGUUACUCCACUAAUAGUUGUUUAAUUACCCCUUUUAUUUAUUCAUUAUAACACUGGUUUAGUCCUACCGUAUCAUUUAUUGCAGAUUGUAGUGUGCCUUCCAGAUAAUCGACGUACCACAGGGACAUUGCAACAUUACAGUCUACAUUAUAACAUUGCUAUCGUCCACAUCAUGGGUUUCUGCUGUUCUCGGACAGCACAAAUCGAGGAUCAGAUGCAAAUGAAACCUCAGAUGAAGGUAGUAGCUGUAGGGCGUGGCUACAAAUCGGGUAAAUUCAUGGCCACAAGUGGGAUACUGAUCGACAAACCAAGUAAGCUUAAUUGCAAAGAGCUUAAGACCUCCACUUGUAAAAUCACCAAGGUACACUGUGUUUUCCGUAUGGUGGAAAUAAGUAGUUGCAUUAGAAUGAGUAAUUAAAUCCAUCACCACAUCUGUAUGGCUUACAAAUACCGUCUUUUCCUCUUUGUUACUUAUAUGUGUUUGUGCUAGGCUGGGAUUGGAGGGCCUCUUAUUGAUAAUUUUAUUGGCAUGAACUUCUAUGGCUUGGAAGAAACUCCAUACGUACCAGCGAAUAUAAUUUCAGAAGUCUUGAAGAAUUUCGAUGCACAAGGGUAUGCUUCCUGUAUUUAUGUAAUUUUGUGUACAAUAUGCAAAUGUCUUUCAUGUGCAUAAUAUUCAAGCUUGAAAGUUUACUUUCCUCGAUAGGACAUCUGUUACCAUUUUGAUCUUCUAUAACUGAUCACAUUAACUAGAACCUGGAAUAGAACUCUUGUGCAUCAGAUAAAUAACGUACGGUAAGACCAUCCUGUGGUUGUGCCUGACUGUUGAGCAUGUCAAAUCGUAGAUAUGCAAUAUAUGAAAGUAUUGUAUCGUAUGUCUCGUAGCAUCACCCUAACCUGGAAUUAUAAUGGCAAAAUCUGGGUCAAUUUUGGUUGUUGUUUUGAGGUUACUUUUUAUUUUGAACUCAUGCCAGUUUUCAAGUCUAAUCUUCUUUUGCGGUUGAACCAUUUUGCCUCUUGAUGUUCGGACAUAUGUAGCAGUAAACUGAUGUUGCAAUGGUUUUGAUCUUCUCUCUCGCGCGUGUGUGUUUGUUUAUAGCUAUUUAAAAUGUUCUUGUAAGUUAAAACUAUUUUCGGUCUGUUUGUAGGUCUGUUGCUGUCAACGAUGAUCAUAGCCCAAACAGGUAUUGUUUAUUUAUUAUUAUGCAUUCAAUAAGACCUUUUGCUAGAUAUAUACUCCAAACAAGGAGUAUUAUUUAGCAGCUUAUUCAUUUUACUCUUAACAGAUGGCCUGUGCCUAAGCCAUUUUGGUGCUAUCCGACAUGGCAUGAGCUUGAGGAAGAAGUAGAUCUGGAGAAAGAACUUAAAUACCAGCGGGAACUCUACUAAUGUGAUGAACUGUAUAUCGACGAAUGCGUGCCUAUCUUGCCCUCAAGCUGUUGACCCUGUAGCAAGUAUGAAGUGUUCUGUAACUUAAUUUGAACCCUGAAAUACUAGUGUACGCACGCCUCUCUUUAUGUGAUGGACUUGUAGAGUGGUCCCCGUAGAAAACUGAAGAGAGAGAAGGAGAGUGCAUGUGCCCAAUUUUCUUUUAUGUACUCCCAUUUGGAGCUUUCUUCACCUCACCAGCUACCAAAUGACAUCACCUGCUUUGGAUGAAAAUUUUGUGUGCUAUAGCCUGAGCUGAUGUGGCACUUAAGACCACCAGUAGGUGCUGCCCCCAUUGUACAUCCCCUAAGAACUCCUUUAUAGUUUUGACCCGAACAACGAUUGUUCAUAUACGUAGAUGAUGUGAUUGUCUUCCUAAUAGCCAAACACAAUGGUGUUGCUGCUGCUAGGCUUCUUCUGGAGAUUUUUGUUGUUCUUCGGGUUUGAAGUGCAACCAACGUAAAAAUGCUCUAUUUCCCCAAUCUUUUGUGAGGAGGACCUGAUUGGUGAAUUCGGAAGUUUGCUGAACUGUCAAACUGGCAAAGAGAAUUUUCAGUGUGGCCGUGUGUAUCUUUUGAUGCAUAGGCCCGGGGUUUCAACUGUCUUUUUCCAAAAGGAGAGAGAGAGAGAAUUUUCAAUGCUUAUUGAUAAAUUAAGAGAGAGAUUUGGGCCAUGGUGUACUGGUUUUUUGUACGAAAGUGGUCGUUUAAUCCUAGUCCAAGUCGCGUUGUCGGCCGUUUUGACUUUUCACUUAAUGUCACUUGACCCCUCCCUCCAUGGGUGUUUAGAUUGACAAGAUGCCUAGUGAGUUGGAAACAAAUUUGCUGGCCAAAAGAAAGUGGCGGACUAUGCAUUUUAGGGGACCUCUUAUCUCCCGCGGAACACACGUGAAACACGCACCCCUNNNNNNNNNNNNNNNNNNNNNNNNNNNNNNNNNNNNNNNNNNNNNNNNNNNNNNNNNNNNNNNNNNNNNNNNNNNNNNNNNNNNNNNNNNNNNNNNNNNNNNNNNNNNNNNNNNNNNNNNNNNNNNNNNNNNNNNNNNNNNNNNNNNNNNNNNNNNNNNNNNNNNNNNNNNNNNNNNNNNNNNNNNNNNNNNNNNNNNNNNNNNNNNNNNNNNNNNNNNNNNNNNNNNNNNNNNNNNNNNNNNNNNNNNNNNNNNNNNNNNNNNNNNNNNNNNNNNNNNNNNNNNAUGUUUCAUGAUUUUGAAGAAUGUUCGGAAUUCAUAAAUGUUCAUGGAUUAAAAAAAGUUCAUGAUUUUGGAAAUGUUCACAUUUUCAAAAAUAUUUAUUUGAUUUUUUAGCACGUGUGAAAAUAUAUAUUCAAAAACAUGUAUUUAAAAAAUAUUAUUCAUUUAUUUUAAAAGUAUUAAACAUAUAAAAAACUUUCAUAUGUAUACCAAAAAUGUACAACGCAUUUGAAAAAAAAGAUAUCAAAGCGUAUAUUUGGAAAAAAAUAAUCAUAUUUUUAAAAAAUGGUAAACGUGUACCAAAAGUUGUUCCUAAUGUUUUCAAUGUAUGUAGAAAAAUGUAGACAAGGAUUGAAAAAAAUUUAAACAAAGGAAAUAGAAAAAUAAAUAGACGAGGAAAAUCGGUGAAAAUUAAAGAAAGAAACAAAAAACAGAGGUAAAAAAUAAAAAUUAAUAAAAACCAAAGAAAACCAAUGCAAACUGUCAAAAACCGAUAUGGAAACCACAGGAAAACUAGGGCGGCAGCUACAGUACUGGGCCGGCCCGUGGCGCCGCGCAAGAGGCGAGCCAGAGCUACAUCUUGCAAUUAGCUAGAGUAUUUAACAUUUCUCAAAAAAAAAAGUAGAGUAUUUAACAAAAAACUACCACAAUUCGUGAAAUUGUGCAUAUAAACUACCACUUUACAAAUUUGUGCCGAAAAUUAUCAUUUUCUCACUAAUCCUUGACUAAAAACUACCAAGUCUAAAAAGAGCCCAAUUUAACUCUUUUAAACGCGUUUCUGACUAGUUGAGCCCACACAUAAGUGGGCUAAAAAGCAAUCGGGUCCCUAGAAUUUUUUCAAAAGAGCAAUCCAGUCCUGGUUGUGCCUGUGGCCGGCCCCCGGCCGUGGCCGUGGCAGCGGCCAAGCCGUGGCUGUGGCCAGCCAUGGCCCCCCGUGGGUGCGCGGCAGCCGUGAGCGGUGGCCGACUCCGAGCUAUGGCUGGUUGCCGUGGGCCUUGCCGCACGCCGGCCGACCUCGCCCACUCGCACCCUGCCAUGUUCGGCCGCGCCCGACCUCCUCUUCCACGCCCUGGGGCCUGCUCUGCGCGCGCACGCACCAUGACCGUCGCCGCGCGCUCCCGGUAGCGCGCGCGCCCAUGUCCUCCCACACCUGCGCCGCGCGCGCCCUCCCUCUCGCCCUGGCUGCGCCCAGCUCCCGCUCCGCCGCUCCCUGGCCAGCUCCUCGCCGCGGCCACGACCGGCUACAACCACGGCUUCUGGCUUGUCAACCCCUACGUCUUUGACUUCAGCGCGUCGUCAAGGAGGCCAGCAUUGGCGGCUACGAAACAGAGGCCAGCGUCAAGGAGCUGCAGCGCCCGACGCAGGAAGAUUACAGGAGAAGCUCAAUCAGAGCCAAGAGGAAGCGGGACGAGGCACAUGGAAGCAAGGACAAACCCGGCAACCCACUAAGAAGAAGAAAAGCAAGACAUACAAGAGCCCCAAGAAGCAGAAGAGGCGCCAUGUGGAAUCUAGAGGCAGCGACCCUCGGCGUGGCAAGGACCGGUGGUCGGCCGAGCGGUACGCGGCGGCGGAGAGGAGCCCGCUCGAGAUCAUGCGCUCCAGCGGCACCACCCUCGGCGCCCCGGUGAUGCGGCAGGCGCUGCAGGAGCAAGCCCGCAAGCGCAUUGGCGACACCGGCCUCCGGGGGCCGGCCACAACCACGGCUUGGCCGCUGCCACGGCCGGGGGCCGGCCACAGCCACAGCCAGGACUGGAUUGCUUUUUUGAAAAAAUUCUAGGGACUCGAUUGCUUUUUUAGCCCGCUUAUGUGUGGGCCCAACUUGUCCGAAACGCGUUUAAAAGAGCCAAAUUGUGCUCUUUUCAGACUUGGUAGUUUUUAGUUAAGGAUUAAUGAGAAAAUGGUAGUUUUCGGCACAAAUUUGUAAAGUGAUAGUUUGUAGGCACGGUUCCACGAAUUGUGAUAGUUUUUUGUUAAAUACUCCAAUAAGGUAUGAGCGAGUCUUUUCUUUUUCGUGCCAAACAAUGGGUACGUAAACAGAAUCAGUGAAGCAUCCAAUUCUGUAGUUCUGACAUAUAUGUUUCAGAGAAAUGGGAGCCACCAAUACCGGAGACUUGAAAAAUGAACUGUGAUGCAUGAUGCAUCCUUUAUAGCCAGUACGGGAGAGACUAAUAUUGGAGCCGUCACCAGAUACAACAGGGGAUAUGUUGUCCUGGCGACGGGCCAACGGAUGUCUGCAUGCAAUUCAACUGAAGAGGCCGAGCUAGCGGUUAUCCUUUGCAGUCUCUCUGAAUUAAAAAGGCUGCACAACAGUCCAAUCUGCAUGGAGACUGACUGUGCAUCCGUGGUUUCGCUGCUGAACAGUAAGGCAAAAAAUCAAUCAGCUCUCUUUCCCAUGAUUGUUGAUGUGAAAACCUUGCUAAGCAGCUUCAGUAAGGUAUCAAUCAGCUCGGUCAAGCGGAACAGAACAAGCUAGCACAUGAAUUGGCGGCUUAUACCAGAAGAAAUGGUAAUGUGUCCUGUGGGGCACUUAAGCUUAUCCUUCAUGAGGAUUGUAACUUCCCUUCAGGGGCACUUUAAUUAAAAGGGAAAAUUUUGUUUUUGCCACUCUAGAUUUUGUCAAUUUUUCUUAUGCCACUCUAGAUUUUGACAUUUCACUUUUGUCACUCUUAGAUUUUGACAAUUAUCACAAUUGCCAUUUUAUGGCAAAAGCAAAAUAAUUUUAUUUCAUUUUUGUCACUCUUAGUUUUUGACAAUUAUCACAAUUGCCACUCUGAAAAUUUUGCUUUUGCCACGGGAAUGGCAAUUGUGAUAAUUGUCAAAAAGUAAGAGUGGCAAAAGUGAAAUGUCAAAAUCUAGAGUGGCAUAAGGAAAAUUGGCAAAAUCUAGAGUGGCAAAAACAAAAUUUUCCCGGCAAAGCCUGGUUCUAAAAAACCAAAUAUAGUUCGAACAUAAGUAUUGUUCAAAGUGCAUAAUUGAUGAAAUUAAAGGCUUUGCCUGGUUCUAAAAAACCAAAUAUAGUUCGAACAUAAGUAUUGUUCAAAGUGCAUAAUUGAUAAAAUUAAAGGCUUUGCCUGGUUCUAAAAAACCAAAUAUAGUUCGAACAUAAGUAUUGGUCAAAGUGCAUAAUUGAUAAAAUUAAAGAUAAGUUUACUAAUUUGCAAUGUGCGUCCACAUAUACUCGACAAGAUCAUUCAGAAGUUGCAUAUGCAUCUGUUGAUCUCACAGUUGUUGAUACAUCUCCAGAAAGUUGGUAAUAGUCUGCCCCUUUUGUUCCGGGGGAGGACCUGAACACGGGGCUUCUCAAAAUCAUGCAUGCGCGCACUGCACCUUCACCCUCAUCGUCAACAAUCAUGUUGAAGAGAAUUACACAACAUGUCAUGAGCUGCCAAAGUGUUUCUGGUUCCCACAUCAUCGCAGCUCCACGAAUAAUACAUCGACGAGCUUGGAGCACUCCAAAUGCUCUCUCCACGUGACGAGUAACUAUAAACAAAAGGUGAGACAUGACGAGCAAGAUUUUUUUUUGACAGUGCAAGGCACGAGCUCUGCAAAUAUUAAGAUGAAAAAUGAAGAAAUAUAGAGUGAUCCAGAAGGGAUCUAUGCCAUAGACCACAAAGCCUGGUAAAAAGGAAAACUGAGAAACAAAAAGGCCAACAGAACACACGCAUGCGUGGGCGCGCGGGCAUACACACAAGAGCUUGGGGAUAAGGACCUAAUGUGUACACGAACCCAAAAACAAGGAAUGUCAUCUGAGACAGACACAAGAGCGUCAUAGCCCAUGACGAUAAGUUAAAGCUCAAGAGCAACCGAACUCACCACCACACCCUCGAACUGACUCAACCAAACCAAGCCCAUCCAUCGCCUAUGCAUCCAAACCUCAAGGACUAAGGGCAUCACCAACGUCGACCCUCAAAACGCCCAUAACCGUUCAGACCGCAUGGUUCGUAUGUCUAUACACUUCAUAUUGUAGCCGACAAUAAAAAUCACAUAAAAGAAUGAGAGCUUUCGGUGGGAUCACAGUUUUGCGUGCGUGUGCGUGUGCGUGUGUGUGUGUGCGCGCGCGCGCUAUUUGAUGGCCAUCCCAUUGUGGUGGCCAUCAUCAUCGCUUUGCCAGCUCGCCGCCCUGCCCUCCAAAAGACACCUCCAACACACUCUACCCCGCUCCCCGGGUGGUAGAGACAUCGCCUUAUUGCCUUGCGCCAACUAUCCUAACCGUGUUUCCUUAUGCUAUAUUUCCUUAUUUUCUUGUACAAUCAAUGCAAUGAUCACUCUGGUCUCAAGCCACUCAUAUAUUGAUUAUAUAUAUUCUCUGCGCAUAUGGAGCUAACUAAUGUUGCUAUGCGAUAUGGGAGUGAACACAUUGUUGUGGUGAUAUAAUAGAGUUAAUGCAAUACAUACAUCCUUUAAGUUAUGAUUGAAAGAUUUUUCUUAUAUGAAAUAUAUUAAUGGUUGACAGUCCAUGUUAAUCAUGAGACAUUCUAUUUUUGAUGGUAAAUUAGGGUUAUUUAUGCAACUUAUACCCCUGUUCCCCCAAAUACAAUAUGUUUUGUCAAUCCUUGAUGAAAUUAACGAGGGGCUAAGUAGGAACAUUGUUAACAAAUGUGUAUUGAAACUGUAGAUAAACUGCAUUUGGGUGAAGUUAAAAAUGCCAAGAGUACAUACUCACAUACUCAUGUCCAUCUAGUCGCUAAAAGAAAAACUUGGACGUGCUUACGCUAUCAACACGCAGGUACCAACUAUUUUUGUUCAGGCUUCAUUAGUCAUUACUUUUGAUUCGUCUACACGUACAUGAACCAAUGAGACACACAAUGAUAAAAUCGUUACUACAAAAAUUGCCGAAAAAGUUGGUUUACAAAGAUAUAAAAAUGUUUGAUUUCUUGCUUAUAUUAUUGGAAUCUCCAUUUCUUCUUGGAUCACUUCAAUGGCGUUUAUAAUUAACUAAAUGAGACAACAACAGUUGUUGUCGUCAUUGCAGAAGGCCCCAGGGACCGGCGGCAUGUCGCUGCCGCCACAGAACUUCUUGCACCGUUCAUCGGUGCAGUUUGGGAAGUGUUUGGAGUAGCACGAAGCCGGCAGGGGAAAAGCACGGGGUUUAUCCAUCUGCAUACGGGGCGUAAAGAAACGAACGAUUAAAAAAAUGUAUAGAUUAGAUAUCCAAUCUGAAAAAAAUUGUUUCAUCGUCUGGUCUCAAUCACGACAGUGCAAAUGGACCAGCCGGCUACGAGAAAGCGGCGCUUUGGUCUUUGAUUCUUGAGGGGCGCAGACGGCCCCGAUGUCUUGAAACGCCAUGGGGGGAUGAUGAGGCUACCCGUGGCUAAUUACUCCGACAGUAGUCCCCGAAACUGGUGGGGCGCCGCGACUAAAAGAGGCGUGGGGGUUCAGUAGCUUCCUACUCUGAGUGCUUCAUUGAUCUUGUUUCGUCCGUCUUCCGGAACGCCGACUGCCAGGAGCCGGACACGACCAGGCAGACUGCCUGGAGGUUUCUGAAACGUCGCGGCGGGAGCCAAGUGGCGCGUCAGCCAGGCGCCAGGCUCGUCGCCAGCUAUCUGCGCGCCACGUGGCACCAGCCGGCCAGGCCGCCUGCCAGCGAGUGAUGGGACAUUGCCGCAGGCCAGGGCCCACCACUACCGGGCCUCGGCACGCGCGUGGAUCCGCUGUGGUCGAGGCAGACGGUUGGGAUUCCGUGGCGUGAUUACUCCACGCCGUUACUGCGCGGUUAAUGCGGGGUCGUGGGGUCGUGGGCACAGUUAAUCCCACGAUCCCCACGCCCCGUCCCCUCGGCUUCACAGCACAGGGCUAUAAGUAGGGGAGGAGGGGAGCGGCUCUGGCUCGCGCGCCCUCCUCUCCCUUUGCUCCGCUCUUCCUCUUCUCUCUUUCUGCCGCCGCCGCACUCCCGCAACACGCUGAAGUGCCGCUGCGGCCCAUCGUCACCAAGCCCGGCCCUUCCGCCACGCCGUUGCUCUGUCAACCUCGAGCUUCCAUGGCGCGAGCGCGAGCCGGCGACUGAGACGGCUCAAAUGUCAUUGAAGACCACAUCACAUACCUCCGCAACAUGCGGCGGCUGCUCAGCGAGGGCUAUGUCAAGGCGCGCGUCCCGCUGGAGAAGGAGAUCUCGCCGGUGCCGGAAGAAGGCGAGCGCGUCAUCUUCCGCUCUCAUUUCCUUUAGGGCUUCCGCCUGCCGGCGAGCGGCUUCCUCCGCUCCUUUCUCCAAUUUUACCAUCUCCAGCCGCACCACCUCACACCGAAUACAGUGGUGCUGCUGUCGGCCUUCGUCACGCUGUGUGAAGGCUACCUCGGCGUUCUCCCCACACUCGAGCUGUAGGGGGAGUGCUUCUACACCAAACUUGGCGUCUCCGCCAAGGAAGAGGCGGCUCAGUCAUGGUACGGCGUCCGGGAGCCGGCAACCGCUUCCUGUCCAUCACCUUGACCCAGCCCGUCAAGUUGUGGCAGAAGUCGUACUUCUAUGUAAAGAAUGUUAACCCAGCGCUGGACUUCAUCAACCCGCCGGCUGAGCCGCGCACCAACUAGACCUUCAAGCCGAAGCAUCUGUCGGCCGCCUCCACUGCCGCCGUCGCCGGACUUAAGGAGAUGACGGACUUGGAGGGCCUCCAGGCGUCCGACUUGCUGACCGCCUUCGUGGUGCGCCGGGUUCUCCCUCUCCGGGGCCGGCCUCACAUAAUCAAUCAGAUGAGUGGGCACCGAGACCCGUGACGGCUGUCCACCCGGGAGAUGCCGGCCAUGGAGGUGGCCUGCAUGGUGAACGAGAACGCGAACCUUAAGCUCUCGGAGUCGGACUGGCAGUUCGGCAAGCGACCGUACUCCCGUGCGCAUCCGCCUCCUGCCGUAAGCUCCCGACUCUCCUUUCUUUCUUGUUUUUUUCUUCUUCUGCCGAGUUCUGCUUUGCCGACUGAUCAGUCGGACGUGUCACAGUUCCUCACGACCCAGCAGGCAGCCGACGCGGACGACCCCGACUUGGGGGCGGCCGCCUUGGAAGACGACGCCACAGGCGGUGGCGACAGGGUAGGCGGCUCCGGUGGAGGAGGCGGCGUCAAGACGUGACCGGAUGACGACGAGGAGGAGGCCGGGCCGUGCCGCCAGCCGACUGCCAACAGGGCGGGGCCACUCGCACCAGGCGGCGCAUCGAAGCGCCGAGCCGGUGCACAGCUGCAAGGCGGCCGACCGAAGAAGCCCAAGGGUCGGCUGCAGCGACCAGGCAGGAGGAGGCCGCCGUGAAGGUGACCCCGUUCCAAAGGGCCCCGAAGCAGCCGCCGACGGUGUCCGCGUAAGUGCUUAUUCUUCGUUGUGUUCUCUUUUGUCUUUUUUUGCAAACCUCCUCUGAGUUUGUCUCGUCUUGCUCGAAUCAGGGCCCCGCUCUCUCUUGAGCGGUCGACCUCCGCCUCCAUCAUUGGGGGGAUGGAGGGCUCCGCCAACACCUGCCGCAUAGACCUGCUCGCCAACCUUCGGGAGGCGGCGGAGAAGAACGCGCGGGAGGCGCGCGAGGAGAAAGAGCGGGCGGAGAAGGCAAAGGCGGAUGUGGCCAAGGCGGCGCAGGAGGAGGCGGACGCGGCGGCCAAGGUCCGGGAGGAGGAGGCGAUCAGGGCCCAGGCGGACGCGGCCGCCAAGGCGCUAGCAGGAGCAUCCGCUGGUGGCCAGGCUCCACAGCUGGUCAUUCCGCUGCGCUCCAUGUGGCCGGAGACAGAGAUCCCGACGCCGACUGGAGGAGCCGGCAACGACUAGUCGGUCAUGCGGAGGGAGGGAGGCGACGCCGCCAUCCCGAGGACGGAGGUGUCCCGGCAGACGCCGGCUGCCGAGGCUCGGGGCAGUCGGCCUGACGCGCCGUCAUCGCCUUGAGUUGGCAGCGAGCUGGUGGUGGGGGCGACUCCCGUCGUCCACACUCCAACGUGCCAGCGUUUGACAAGGGCGACUUCAGCGCCGCGGCCUCAGGAAGUCGGAGCCUCAAGCUCAUCGGCCCCAAAAACGGAGGCCAUGAUACGUCUCCAACGUAUCUAUAAUUUUUGAUUGCUCCAUGCUAUAUUAUCUUCUGUUUUGGACAUUAUUGGGCUUUAUUAUACACUUUAUAUUAUUUUUGGGACUAACCUAUUAACCGGAGGCCCAGCCCAGAAUUGCUGUUUUUUUUGCCUAUUUUAGAGUUUUGGCAGAAAAAGAAUAACAAACGGAUUCCAAACGGAAUGAAACCUUCGGGAACGUGAUUUUCGGAACGAACGUGAUCUAGAGGACUUGGACCCUACGUCAAGAAAGCUACCAGGAAGCCACAAGGUAGGGGGCGCGCCUACCCCUCCUGGGCGCGCCCUCCACCCUCGUGGGCCCCAUGUUGCUCCACCGACGUACUCCUUCCUCCUAUAUGUACCUACGUACCCCCAAACUACCAGAUACGGAGCCAAAAAUCUAAUUCCACCGCCGCAACCUUCUGUACCCGUGAGAUCCCAUCUUGGGGCUUGUUCCGGAGCUCCGCCGGAGGGGGCAUCGAUCACGGAGGGCUUCUACAUCAAUACCAUAGCCUCUCCGAUGAAGUGUGAGUAGUUUACCUCAGACCUUCGGGUCCAUAGUUAUUAGCUAGAUGGCUUCUUCUCUCUUUUUGGAUCUCAAUACAAUGUUCUCCCCCUCUCUUGUGGAGAUCUAUUCGAUGUAAUCUUCUUUUGUGGUGUGUUUGUUGAGACCGAUGAAUUGUGGGUUUAUGAUCAAGUUUAUCUAUGAACAACAUUUGAAUCUUCUGAAUUCUUUUAUGUAUGAUUGGUUAUCUUUGCAAGUCUCUUCGAAUUAUUAGUUUGGUUUGGCCUACUAGAUUGAUCUUUCUUGCAAUGGGAGAAGUGCUUAGCUAUGGAUUCAAUCUUGUGGUGUCCUUUCCCAGUGACAGUAGGGGCAGCAAGGCACGUAUAGUAUUGUUGCCAUCGAAGAUAACAAGAUGGGGUUUAUAUCAUAUUGCAUGAGUUUAUCCCUCUACAUCAUGUCAUCUUGCUUAAGGCUUACUCUGUUCUUAUGAACUUAAUACUCUAGAUGCAUGCUGGAUAGCGGUCGAUGUGUGGAGUAAUAGUAGUAGAUGCAGGCAGGAGUCGGUCUACUUGUCUCAGACGUGAUGCCUAUAUACAUGAUCAUACCUAGAUAUUCUCAUAACUAUGCUCAAUUAUGUCAAUUGCUCAACAGUAAUUUGUUCACCCACCGUAAAAUAAUUAUGCUCUUGAGAGAAGCCACUAGUAAAACCUAUGGCCCCCGGGUCUAUUUUCCAUCAUAUUAAUCUCCCGACAACAAGCUAUUUCUGGCUCCGUUUUUAUUUUUGCUUUCUUUACUUUGCAUCUUUAUCAUAAAAAUACCAAAAAUAUUAUCUUAUCAUAUCUAUCAGAUCUCACUCUCGUAAGUGACCGUGUAGGGAUUGACAACCCCUUAUCGCGUUGGUUGCGAGGAUUUAUUUGUUUGUGUAGGUGCGAGGGACUCGCGCGUAGCCUCCUACUGGAUUGAUACCUUGGUUCUCAAAAACUGAGGAAAAUACUUACGCUACUUUGCUGCAUCACCCUUUCCUCUUCAAGGGAAAACCAACGCAGUGCUCAAGAGGUAGCAGACCACUAGGGUCGUCCCGCGGCAGUGGACGUCUGGGGGCGGGACGGGCGUCCUGAACAAGGCUGCGCAGGAAGUCCACUCCCUGCUUUAGGCCCAGGGCGACGCCCUCCAGGACUACACGAAGAAGUUCUUGGCGUCGCGAGUUGCCGUCUGGGUAUGCUCCUUGUGCUUUGCUUUCAAUCUUUGCAAUCUUCCAUGGGGGCGCGCCAGCGCACCCACUAGGUGUAGCCCCCGAGUUCCGGGCCGGCUGCUGAGCAGGCGGCUCGGAACUUAAAGGUAAGUUCCGAGUGCCGACCCUUUCUUUUCUUCUAUUGAUUCUGUUGCAGGAUUACCACAACAUUCGAGCGGCCGCCUAUAACUCCCAAGCUUGGGAGCUGACCAAGCGGACCGCCGAGCUGACCGACAGCCAGAGUAAGCACUCCACUCUUCAUUCUCGCGGGGGGCGCCAGCGCACCCAUGGGGUGUAGCCCCCGAGAUUCGGGCCGACUGCUGAGUAGUUGGGUCGGAUCUUCUGGCAACUACUUGUUUCCUUGCUUCUUUCAUUGAAUUGCUCAAUCCUUAGUCUUGCGGGGGCACUCUAGCGCACCCGUAGGGUGUAGCCCCUGAGAUUCGGGCCGACUGCUGAGCAGUCGGGUCGGAUCUUCUAGCAACUACUUCUUUCCUUGUUGAUUUACUGACCUCUUCUCUCUCUUGUCUUCUGCAGGAGCCAAUGCCGCCUUGCGGCGGCAAAUGGGCGAAGCUCAAACCGCGUUGCACGCCAAGGAGGAGGAGCGCCUCAAGAUUGAGCAGGAGCGAGACCGUCUGGCCAAGCAGCUGGCUGACCAGGCGGACAAGCACCAAGCGGAGUUGCAGAAGCUCAAGGAUGCGGAGGAGGCCCUACAAGCCGAGUUCGAGACUCAGCGCUCGAACUGGGUCGAGAAGGAGAGGGCCCUGUCGGCCGACUUUGGCAAGGUCGAGGACAUGCUCGAUGGUAAGUUGCUCUUUUCCUUCUUCUUCCUCCUGGUUUGUCCUGCAAGUCGGCCUUCGACUUCUCACUUUUUUCUUCUUCCCUUGAGCAGAAUAUUUCCCUGGCUACUUUGUUGCCAUCAUUCAAGCCGUCGAGGCUCAUCGCGACGAGCGGAGGCUGGCUGGCGCGACAAUCGCGCCCAAUGCCCCUCGUACUCUUGUCGAGCAGAUGCUUGCCAUCCUGGAUCGUCUCCAGCCGGCGCAUCGGGCUCUCCGCACUUGCAAUGGCUAUGAUUUGUACGGUUGAUGUAUUAAGCAUGUUCGUGCCUUGUUUAUUUCAAUACUACACACUGUGUGAUGUUCAAAUAUUAUCGUGUUGAGCUCAAUUCACCAAUACCAGCAACAAACUUACAAUACAUGACUCAGGAUAUCACUAGAGAUGCUGCCCAUUUGCUAUUUUUAGUGGAUGCUAACCCUUUUGCACUUAACAUGCAUGUCCAUGUACUCACGCAGGGUCAUAACGACCGAUGCUUUUGUUUGCCGUCGAGGUGAGCUGCAUCCCGUGUCCUACAGUAUUUCACAUAAUUUGUGCAAUUGCAAUUUAACUUCUACCCAUUUACUGGUUGCCUGUAGGUACACAUGUUAGUGGCACUGGUCCACGCUUCGACCCGAAGGAACAGCUCGCCUCCGCCGUCGCUAACUUUGGGCGAGCUUUGGCCAAGAUGAAGUGCCCCAGCAACUACCUCUUAGGUCUUACCAAAUAUGUACUCACCAGUUCAAUCUUACCAAUACCAGUUGCAAUUAAUGGCUAUGUUCUGUACGGUCGAUGUAUUAAGCAUGUUCUAGUAAACAUGCCUAACACUUUUUUGCUACUUUUCCUACCUCUUUAUAGACAUCUGGGCCAUUCUCUGCUCUGGCAGCACCUGCCUUGUGAUGUUUAACUAAGCCAAUUGCAUUUUUAUCAGUACCGGUUUCGAUGUCUAUUAAGCCUAUUGCAAUUAACAGUUGAAUCCAUUUUUAAACAGUUGCAUUUCAAUGGCUACAAACUUACAAAACAUGACUUAGGAUGUUGUUAAGCCUGUUGCAAUUAACAGUUUUAUCCAUUUUUAAUCUGUCCAUUUGCUACCAUGCUACUCUCCACAAUGAAGAUAUACUAGAGAUGCUGCCCCAUUUGCUUUUUUUUGGUGGAUGCUAAUCCUGAAGUACUUAACAUGCUUGUCCAUGUACUUACGCAGGGUCAUAACGGCCGAUGAUGUUGUUUGCCGUCAAAGUUAGCUGCAUCCCAUGUCUUACAGUAUUUCACAUCAUUUGUGCAAUUGCAGUUUAAUUCUACCAUUUACUGGUUGCCUGUAGGUACACAUGUCAGUGGCACUGAUCCAUGCUUCGACCCGGAGGAACAGCUCGCCUCCGUCGCUGACUUUGGGCGGGCUCUAGCCAAGAUGAAGUGCCCCAACAGCUACCUCUCAAGACUUACCAAGUAUGUACCCACCAGUUCAAUCUUACCAAUACUAUUUGCAAUUAAUGGCUAUGUUUUGUAUUGUCGAUGUAUUAAGCAUGUUGUAGUAAACAUGCCUAACACGUUUGAGCUAUUUUCCCUACCUUUUUAUAGACAACUCGGCCAUUAUCUGCUCUGGUAGCACCUGCCCUGUGAUGUUUAACUCUACCAAUUGCAUUUUUAUCAGUACCGGUUUUAAUGGCCAUUAAGCCUGUUGCAAUUAACAGUUGUAUCCAUUUUUAAAGAGUUGUAUUUCAAUGGCUACAAACUUACAAAACAUGAAUUAGGAUGUUGUUAAGCCUGUUGCAAUUAACAGUUGUAUCCAUUUUUUAAUUCGUCCCUUUGCUACCAUGCUACUCUUUCGAAAUGAAGAUAUCACUACAGAUGCUGCUGUUUUAUUACCAUUUGCUAUUUUUGGUGGAUGUUAACCCCGUUGUAGUUAACAUUGGCUUUCCAUGUACUUACACAGGGCUACAAUGGGCGAUGAUGUUGUUUGCCGUCGAGGUUAGCUGCAUCCCAUGUCUUAUACACCAUCUAUUCCUAAAUAUAAGUAUUUUUAGAGAUUCCAAUAUAGACUACAUAAGGAGCAAAAUGAGUGAAUCUAGAUUCUAAUGUAAACUAUAUCUAUAAUUCUAUAUACAUCCGUAUGUAGUUCAUAUCGAAAUCUCAAAAAAAAUGUACUUAGGAACAUAGGUAGUUGUAUUUUACAUCAUUUGUGCAAUCUCAGUUUAGCCUAUAACAUUUACUGGUUGCUUGUAGGUACAUAUAUGAGGGGUAUUGAUCCACGCUUUGAUCCCUUUUGCUUAUGGGGCAAUGAGAUAUUCAUGAACAAGCAUCAAGUGAGGAAACUAAUAAAGAUUGUUAGGCGAAAGAAACGAGUGAUUGGAAUUAAGCUCUUUAUUUACACUUUGUCGAAGACAAGAGUGAACUUUAGGAUGGUAAGUAAUGUGUUGCCUUUUCUCCCUGCCCACAACAAGUUACUCUAUUAGACCUCAGUAUCUGAUAUUUUUCUCUUUUCAGUGGUUUCCGAAGCUAUUUACCGAUGAUUACCUUGCAAACUACAUGACCGGAGUGGAGGCAACUAAGGUUAAAGUAUAUAAUUCAUGCUACCAUGAUAAUGCUUUAGAAGUCUUCCUGAAGGCGGUGAAGGAUGGGCGGGCGAUCGUCACAAGGGGUUGGACAAAAGUGGUUCGUUCCUAUGGCAUGCAGGAAGGCACAUGAUGACCCACAAGUAUAGGGGAUCUAUCGUAGUCACUACAAGAAAUAUGUCAACUUGUGACCUUGACUAUUGGUCACCGAAAGGUCAUUGUUUUUCAUUUGUGACCUUUUUGUGACCAAAAACAGAAGGUCAAAAGCUGGCGGUCGUAAACUAAAAUUAACGACCUUCUCUGUGAGAAGGUCGUAGACGUUUACGACCAAAAUAUGCCUAUUGUUUUGUUUUGGUCACUAGCAACCUCCCCAGGCCACGUAGGCAUCCAGUGUGGCAAGCUGAUAUGGCACAAGAUUCAGCCCGGUCCAAUUCGGUAUUCUACAUGGCCUAGCCCAUUAAUUCAGCCUAUUAGUGUUUUUUUCUCAUAUUAAUUUUGGCUAGGUAGAUGGGCCAAGCCCAACAAUUAAGCCUUCUCAUUUUUGGGCCAUGGCCUUUUCCGCUAGAAAGUUUUAGUUUUUUUGUAAUAUAAAAAAGGUCCACUAGUCAAAUGGGUCCCAGAUGUCAGGUUCAGGUACAUGGGUCCCAGCUAGCAAGUUCAUAUUCUUCAUGUUCCAAUUUAACAGUAAAUAAAUAACCAGUAUUUAAAUUGGCACAAACAAAAAACACACUUAAUACUCCAAAUAUUAUCAGCCAGAUUCAGUACAGAGCUCCUAUUGUACAAAUAACAUAUACUUUACAAGCUCUACACAUAAUAAGCUCUAACAUAUACAAGCUCUACUUGUGAUACUCCAAACAUUCUCCAGAAGCUCUACAAGUAUGGCAAUCACAGUUACAAGCUCCACAUGUGAUACAGUUACAAGCUAUGUUCUUCAGCAUGGAGCUCCUUCAAUAACAAUCACAAAGUAGGCACCUACUCCUGUCAGGACUGGGCCAACAGAACGGUGAUAUGCCUUCCACGGUCACCCUGAUACAUGAAUCAACAGAGAAGAAUUAGGAAAACUGGAGCCAAUAUAGCAAGAAGAGACCAUUCAAAAAAUGACAGCUAUUUAUAUUAGAAUGACGACACAAAUUCAGCUAGUACCAUGAUUUUUGUUCUCCAGCUAGUUAAAAUGAGAUACUCAUUCAUACAAGAAAACAGAGAAAAAUAUGAAUAUGUAUUGCACAAGUGCGAGUCGUGCAAAAAACUUCACUACACCAAAUUGCACCUAAACAAUAAUACCAUUCUACUACCACAACCAUCCAUUCAACAGGCAAGAUCAAACAUUACUAGUCAGAGUACGUAGGCUUAGCAUCACUAACAUCACAAAUACACGAGAGAAUAAAGGGAACCAAGAGAGAUACCUAAGGAUGAUAGCAUCGUGAUGAUUUGGAUUGAGUUAGCAUCUGUGAGGAGGUGAAUUAUCACCAUGGUGUGCUUGAUG